UUCGUGUGUCAUGUCAUAUCAAUGGUAAAUUACUAGGUUAUAAACGGAAAUAUGCCUUAGAUCAGUGCGUACAAUGUUUUAAAUGCUGUUCAUUCUACAAUUUGUUGUUUUUGUCUUGUUGUGAUGUACGGUGUUUGACCUUUUUGAGAAUGUAUACUUGUUGGCUUAACAUUGCAGUCAUCUAUUGCAGAAAUGUACAGAGAGGCAGUUUCCACCAGCCGAUGUGGCUCAAAUAUUGGAUUCUGCAGUUACAAGCUUGAAGCCUUGCUGCCCACAAAACCUUCCAGUUUAUACAGAAAUACAGAAGUGCAUGGGAAUUGUCAGGAACCAAAUAUUGGCGCUUAUACCUACUUAGCCAAUAAAACUUGGAAGUAUAUUUUUUUUUCUUGUCUGCAAUGUAGAUAAUUGAUUUGAUUGCCAUCUUAGCUUCUAAGGCUGCCAUGACAAGUGCUCUUUGUAUCCAACUAACAUCAAUGGAAUGAGUUAUCACUUCCAUUAUAGGUCAUCUAUCUUCAAAUUCAUGAUAGACUUGCCUCUUAUUUACUGUUGUUAAGUUGAUUAUGUACCCGUUCGCUCUCCCUUGUUGAUAGACACGUACAAGUUUUGGGUCCUUUGCAGCUAUUGAAUGGAUUGCGCAGGAUCCUAUGGGAAUACAGUUUUGGAGAAGUCAAAGAGGGUUUUUGCCUCAGCUGUAGCAUAACCAGAGGUUUUAAAUUUUUGAAUGCAUGAACUGGGUAUUAAUGAAGUAGUCGAUUUGUUUAAUCAGCCAGACUUUGCACGCUUUGCAAGCAGCAGCUGAUGUUCAAUCAAUAUUCAAGAGCCUUAGUGUAUUGAUCUAACAGCUUUAGUUGUUUUCUCUCUUUUAAACAGGAUACUAGGGCUUUGUUUGGCAUCGACGUGUUUUGAGUGCUUUUAGGAAGACAGAUUGUAGAAUACCAUCAGCUGUCUACAAUCUGUCAGGUUGUACAAUCUGUCUACAAUCUGUCUACAGAUAGGUGGUAAGGUUGUACAAUCGACGUGUACAAUCGACGUGUUUUGGGAAGCAGGAAAGGAGCGGAGGACGGUGGCAGGUUGAGGGGAGAGAGGGACGGGGAUAUACUCAACAAAGCCCAAGUUACAAAAUUUUCCUUGUCUUUACAGAUAGGUGGUAAGCAACAAUUACAAAAACUAAUACUUCAAAUACAAUGUUACAGUAAUAUAUAAACAAAAAUAAUUUUAUUCAUAUAAUAUAUUAAAAAUAAAUCAUAAAUAUACAAAUAACAAAUAAAUUUUACAACAUUUUUCAUCAAUUACCAUCACCCAUCACUGCCCUUACCCAUACCCACAACUGUUAUCACUCCCUUUCUCCUUCCCUCUUCCUCCCUUCACUUUCUUCUCCCUCUUCCUCCUCCCUUCCCCGCCACCCCCACCUCCUCUCCUUCUGCCCCGUCGAUCUGGUUUUGACAAGAUCACGACUAAAAGGAAGACGGAAGGAGAGGGAGAAGAAAGAGAGGGGAGGACGAGAAGAAAGAGGGCCGGGAUGAGAAAGAAGGAAGGAGGGGGUGAUGGUAGUGGUGGGUGGUAGACUGGUAGUGUUAAUUUUUAAAAUGUACUCUAGAUAUUUUUUUUACUUUAAAAAAAUACCUUAAAAUAGAUUCCAAAAACUCCUUCCUAAAUACCACAAAAAACAUUUACAAUAAAAAAUUUUUCAUCUACACUGUUACAGUAAAAUAUUUCAAAAACACCCAAAAAAAUGGUUAAUCCAAACUACAAUAAAAUAUAAUUAUUGUGCAACCCGGGAUUGAACAAUUUAACCUGCAAAUUGAACCGAUAAUUUGAUGAUCUAGUCAUCUCUCCGGGUCGCAAUAUGAAAUAUCUCCCUGAUUAUGGUGAUUUUAUACCUUUAAUGCAAUGAAUUUACAAUGUGAACAUGAGUUUGCAUUGUCCUAAAUAUGUAAGUACGAUCCACAUCAUGGUUAAUCUUUGCUAUACUUAUCUCAAGCAAUUAAUCUCUAGGCUUUUCUUAUUUCAUUGUGACAUAUUUAUCUUUCAAGUUAUUUUUUGUCUAUUAUAUCUAUGUUAAUUUAUGUCAUUAAUGUAGAUUUAAUAAAAGUAUGAUAUUUUAAGGAGAAAUAGUUGUAUUAGACUAUUCGAACAAGUUUACAUAAAUGUUAAAGAUUGAAGUUGUUCAAUGUGGUUCGACCUAAAUAGAGGUAUUGUCCCACAAGUAUUUUCUACAUAGGUUAGAUGAGCAUGUUUCAGCAUGCCCAUUGAGAUGAAAUUGAUGAUCAAGUCUUAGGAACUCAAAGGAAGAAGGAACCAACUUGCCAAAAUUUAUAGGAUAUUGAAACUUAUUUGCUGCUUCAUUUUGGAAAAGGUUUCUUUGAUCUUUGUUAGUCCAAAAGAUCCGUUCGACUAAAACAAGCUACCUAGAAGUUAAAUUCGUUGGUUAUUGAUUUUGAAUGCUAGUAUACUAACAUAAACUUCGAUCUUCUUUGUCGGAAUUAUUCUGGAUUCGGUUAUUAUUGCAGAAGCAGAGGAAACGUUACUGGCUCACUCUUGUUUCCACUUUUGCAAGAGCAUAUAGCUUUGAUUGUUUCGUUCUUUUGACAUGGACAAUUGCUGCAAAUUCCAUUGCCUUUUACUGGCUCACUCUUGUUUCCACUUUUGCAAGAGCAUAUAGCUUUGAUUGUUUCGUUCUUUUGACAUGGACAAUUGCUGCAAAUUCCAUUGCCUUUUGCUGCCAUUGUUUCCUUCUUGUAUUGUUUAUGCUCUGCACUUCUUCCAUUUGUCUUUGGUUCAUCUAGUAAUUUUUUAAAACACUCUUCUUUCCAUCACUAAUUGCGUGCAGAGUUUUUUGCUCAUUGUCAAAAUCUUAGUGAAAUGUCAAUAUCAACAUUGUAGACAGAGUAACUCAUACGCUAUGUUGAAACAUGCAAGUAGUAGUAGUUUUUGAACUGAAUCCUAUGAAUUAUGGUGUGGUGAAAAAUUGCUAUCUUAAGGAGUGAAGAGUCUAAACAAGAAUCAACAAGAUUCUAAAAUUGAUAUGUUGUAUUUUGGGAAAAUCGUCCAAAACGUCCCUCACAUUUUGUAAAAUGACUUUUUUCGUCCCUCACUUUUAAAAGUGUAAUUUUAUGUCCCUUACAUAUUCACAUAGGUCAAAUUUAGUCCCUAACUAGGUUUCCGAUCAUUUUUUGGCCGGAAUCCAUCACGUGCAAGGCACGUGAUCAUUUUUGAAGGGUAAAUUUGUCAAAUUAUAUUUUACAUAAUCUAAUCUAUAGUCCUCCACAUUUUAUAAAACAAAUCUUUUCGUCCCUCACAUUUUAUAAAAUAAUUUUUUCAUCCCUCACAUUUCACAAAAUGAAUUUCUCCAUCCCUAACAUUUCAAAAAAUGAAUAUUUCCAUCCCUCACUGAUUAUGUGUGUGAGGGAAACCCUAAAAAUAAAUAAAUAUAUAGUGAAUACAUUUUGUUUAAACACAUGUAUAUGUUUAUUUGAUUUUGCUUAAUAAUACGAAUAGCAUAAAUAUAUGUAUGUCUAUUUGAUUUCAUUUAACAAUAUGAAUACCAUAUAUUAUACGUGAUCAUUUGAUUUCAUCUGGUAUUAGCUAGUAAAAAAUCUUGCAUUCAUUGUCAAGUUGGCCAAUAAAGCUAUUUUCGGUCAAAAUACAAUAAGAAUAUGCAAAUUAAAGUUCUAUUGGUAAAUAUUAGUCAUAAUCAUACAAAAACAGAGGAUAGCCCACAAGUUGGGCCCAAUUACAUACAUGUAUUUAUACUAUUAUUAUUAAGUAAAAACAAAUAAACAUAUACAUGUGUUUAAAAAAAAUGUAUUCACACAUAAUUAGUGAGAAAUGAAAAAUUCAUUUUUUAAAAUGUGAGGGAUGGAGAAAUUCAUUUUGUGAAAUGUGAGGGAUGAAAAAAAUCAUUUUAUAAAAUGUGAGGGACGAAAAAAUUUAUUUUAUAAAAUGUGGAGGACUAUAGAUCAGAUUAUGUAAAAUAUAAUUUGACAAAUUUAUCCUUCAAAAAUGAUCACGUGCCUUGCACAUGAUGGAUUCCGGCAAAAAAAUGAUCGGAAACCUAGUUAGGGACUAAAUUUGACCGAUGUGAAUAUGUAAGGGAUAUAAAAUUACACUUUUAAAAGUGAAGGACGAAAAAAGUUAUUUUACAAAAUGUGAGGGACGUUUUGGACGAUUUUCCCUUGUAUUUUUGUCAUUAAUUUUAUGGUUAUUUCCCUCUUUUAUUUUACCAAAUAUUACGUUAUUUGAUGGAUUCUACUUAUAUUUGGUUAAUGGUGCUAAAUUAUAGGGAAAUAACCAAAACAUGAUUAAAAGGGGCAGUUUCCAGCUAAUUUGGUGGUGAUACGUUCAGGACCUACAUUCAAGUCCAGAAGACUUGGGAAUUUGUCACGCAUGGAGAUUUCGUAGUUCGAGUCAAAUAUGGACAUCUUUGGUGAAUUUGGAAGACUUUAAUCAUCUUUGUUAGUUGUAGAGUUGAAUUAGGAAACAAUUAAGUAUUAUCUCUUUAGAAUGUUUCCUUUUUCAAUUGGGAGUUUGUUUCCCUUAAAAAAAAAAUGAGAAAAUAGGAAGAGCAAGCCGGAUCCCGGGUGAUUAAGAGUUCGGACAUCAACAAAUUCGGGAGAAGUUUUGUUUUUCUUAAGAAGCUACAAAAUAGGAAUUGAGAGGAGGGCCGUGACUUGUCUCUUUCUUUGUCUUCUUUCGUUAGUUUUUGGAGAAGGAACCAAUGGUUAUCAAGGAAGUCCUGCGGAUUUUCCUUGAGGAUGUAUGUAGCUAAAUCUCCGUUUUCUAGUCAAGGGGACAACUGAAGAUUUGGUUCGGCAAUUACUAUGAGAUCUAAAUUAUUUUAACUGUGUCCUUCAUUUAUUGGUAUAUAUUUUCUGCUUUUAAUUGUUAUAGCUAUUGUGUAUGAUUGAAUAGUGUGCAAUAUUUAAUCGUCCACGUGGGCUAUUUUGCAAAUUUGGGGUAGUUGAAACCGUAAUUGUUCGAUUACCUCCGUUCCGGUAGCAACUGGUAUAAUUGGAUUUAUAUCAGAAAAACAUACGAUCUAACUUAAACAAAAGCGUGUUUGUUACUUUGGAUUGGACUUUUCUAAAUCUUAGUGCAGAUUAGAAAUUAAAUCCUAUGGUCGUACCUAGGAUUGUUUUCGGGUUAGAGAAAUAGUUAACGAUCAUACCUUAACUAUCGAAAAAUUAAGGAAAGGCUAGUUGUUUAUCGUAUGUAUGAUAACUAUAACCAAUCUAUUAAUAACUGUUGGAAUUAUAUUUGAAUCGAUGAUCAGUUGCAUGAACCAUCUCUGAAGUGCACCCUUGGCUAGAGUUCUCCCUUUUAUUUCUUCCAAUCAAUUAUUUUUCGCAUUUAAUUUAUUUAGUUAGCAUUUAAUCCUGAAAUCUCCCAUUUGUCUUGACUCGAAAGGAAACGAACUUCUCCCCAAUUCCUGAGGAGAUGACCUGCUUGCCACUGUCUACUAGUUAGUAAAUUUUGUUAGUAAUUAAUUCUGGUAUAUAGGAUUAAGCAAACUCUUCAGGAACAAGAUGAAUCAAAUAACCCAUUGCACACCUAAGGUCCCUGCUCCAAUACCUAGAAUUGAUUAUUUACAGCUUGAGGGUAGUUAGGUUUUAUUAUUAUUAUUGCACAUGUUCGGCACCUUUUCAAAAACCUAGAGUGCACGCAAAGGGCCAAGGUGUAAAACCCAAACAACAGACCAAGUGUUUAAAUUUGAUAAUCUCUCUAUCUAUCCAUCUAUUAUAUCCACAUCUAUAUCUAGCUAUCUAUAUCUAUAAUCUAUAUAAAAGGACAAUGAGUUUUGGUAUUUUGGAGUGUGGGUGUAAGCAUUGCUAUGAUCUUAUUUUGUGUUAUUUGAAUUAUGCCCUUCUUAACUUGUGGUUAAGUUUCAUACAAUCUUAAGUAUGGGUUAAAGUUUAAUUAUGAAUUUCUAAUUAUUACAAUCACUAUAUUGCAUCAUACCAUAGUGAUUUAGAAAGAAAAAUCUCCUUAAAGUUAUAAAUAGUGAAAUGGUUUGAGAAAUAUUUGUCAAAUGAAUUAUAUGAGUUGUACACAUCCAAUUCAAAAGGGGAAGAACUUUUGAUGUUGCACACAAAGGACUUUCAAUAUACAAAAAAUUAGACACCUUCAUAUAACUGAAAUAACAAUAUUAAACUGAAAAAAAAAAGGAAAUCUGAAAUAGCCCAUACAAUCCAUCAUUAUUAUUAAUAGCAACCCCUCAUAACAAGAAAAACUGAAAAAAAAAAAUGAAAACUAUUCAUAAAAUGACAUAAAGCGAAUAGAAGUGAAUCAAAAAGCUAAAAAUACAACUCAAAUAAUACCACAAAUAACUUUCAAAUCACUUAAAAUUCUAAUUCAGGUGAGUCAAAUCUGAGGGAAGACAAAAAGUUGUUAUUGAUAGCAAUAGAGUAGUGCUUCAUUUAUAUUGUUUCGAGCAAAUCGAGUUAAUCCAGCAAGCUGUAUAGAAGCCAUCAGUCCAAGGAAAAGGAGAAGAAGAAAAGGUUACCAUAUAUAAUACUAUAAUUUGUUAACUACAUAUCCUAUCUUAUGUCUAGAAACUAAUAAUUGUACUCGAAGAAAAGGUAGUCUGCAGUGUUGGUUGGUCUGAUACUUUUAGCUCUUUGUGGAAAUAUAAAUAGUAUUCAAGUUACACUGGAGAAUUCUAAAGGAACCAAAUCAAAAUACUAAUUACUAAACACACAAAAGAAGCACUCUUUUGACUCUUUAAAACUUUAGUUUCUAAACUACCUACACUUAAAAACAUUGACAAUUUCCCAAUUAACACGGAUCAUACCUAAUAAACUGCUUUUCUUUCUCUUCAAAUUAAUUUUGUUAAAUUUUCUACUUUAAUCCAACAAACUUAUCUUAGUCUACGAAGUCCAGUGAUUUGCUUCUCAAUUAGUCUAAUGUAACCAAGAAGUUGCUUGAUGAAAUGAUAAUGACUUGAUCCCUUCACACACUUUUUUUUUUCCUAACCCCUUCUCAUUUUUUUUUGUUACUUGUCCUAAUAAUUUGCGUAAUAAAGAUUUUUUGUAUUUUAAACGAUAAGUUAACAAUAAGAAAAAAGAAAGCAUAUUAAGAAGAUGCAUCUUCAGGAACUAGCCACCAGGCAUCCAAUUAAUUGACCUACAGAGAUGAACAAGCAUAAAUUGAUUAAUUACACUUUUACAUGUUUUCCAGGCCAGGCAACAUCUAAAACAUGUAUUCCUUUCAUUUCUUUAUUUCUUAAUUACACGAGAAGAUGCUUCAAGCAAAGAAGAAGCAAUAUUUAUUUAUUUUUGAAUGGCAAACGGGCUCCAGCAUUAAUCCAGGAAAGUUAAGAGUCAAAAUGUUGAAAAAAAAAAAGAACGAAAUAAAAAAUGCUAAACACAUGAAAAUCACUCUGAUGACUAUUUGGAAUUUUUGCUUUUUGAAACUACCAAGCAGGCAAGCACUGAAAACAUUGACAGUUUUCCAUUAGCCCGAACAAGAUUCGGUAUUUUCUUUUCUUUCUCUUUAAAUUAAUUUUGUUAACUUUUUCUUCUCCAUUCCAACGCUAUCAUCUUACACCAUUAGACUUGUUGAACCGAAUUUUAUGAUUCUGAUACUAUCAACAUGCAUGCAGGAUUAUUAGGCAGUUGCCUCUCCUUUGUAUUCAAAAAAAUGUAUAUAUAUAUAUACAUAUAUAUACACAUACAUACAUAUAUAUAUAUAUAUAUGAGUGUGUGUGUGUGGGUGUUUGUGGGAGAUAACAAAAAAAUAAAUAGAGUAAUCUUAUUGCAAAUAUAUUAGCAAGUUGAUUAAUUAAAUUAAUCUAGAUAGAUAAAAUAGAGUAAUCUGAUUAAUCAGACUUUUAUUUAUUUUACUAAUCGAUAUCUAAAAUAGUUCAUACCUAGUGCAUCCUAUAUAGUACUAGUAAACAGAAUUUCUUAAAUAAAUAAAGGCCGCCAGCAGCACAAGCCAUUGACCAAAGCUAGUAACAUGGCCUCAUCUUAAUGUGCUACUAGUAAAUAGAAUUUCUUAAUGAAGAAAUCACAAGCCAUUGACCAAGCCAAGAAUGAUGGCCUCAUCUUAAUGUAGCCUUAAAACUUUCUCUCCUUCUUUAAUAUUACCCUCGUUUGGUACAUGGAAAUGCACAGAAUAGAAAGGGUUUUAGCCAGAAUAUGUUUCCACCGGGAUGGUAGGGAAAAAAGUUACUAUUCCAGGGCUUGAUAUACAAGUUAGAAUGGAAUAUUUACUCAAUUUCCAGAUGUUAGAAUGGAAUAUACUAAAUACAAAUUUGAUUUAAUUACCCUAGAUUAGUUUAUAGGACAUAAUAUAUCUUCUUUUUUUUUGUUUUAUUUGGUCUGCAAUAGUAUUUGUCUAUUUACGUGAAAUUUUGAUAUCUUUAUUUAAAAAUAAAGGAGGAUUGAUAUCAAAAUUCUUCAAUUGUAGUGAAGAUUCAAGUUAAAUUUCAUUUACUACCAAUAUCAAUAGUAGCGUAAAAUGUAAAUUACAUGAAGUUAGACAAUUAUAAUUUAUUUUUAAUCUAUUUUCAAUUUUAAUAUGAGAUUCAAAAAAGAUUCUUGAACAGUUGUUCAAAAAUCAAAGAAUAAAGUAUCUUAAAACAUUUGUUUCCUAGUAUAAAAGCAAAAUAUUAUUCUAAGUACAAGAAAAUUAAUUAUUACAAUAAUUACAUUCAAAUAUUAAUUGAGUUUAUAAAUAGCUUAAGAUAUGGCGAUGCAGUAGACUUGUGACGAUAAAUUGGACAUCCUACUAUUUAGGCAUUCUAGGAUGAAGGAGAAAAAAGCUUUCACUAAAUUUUUUUGAGGAAUGAGAGAUUCUAGAAAAAGUUAGAAUGAGCAUUUCAGAAAGAAAGAGCUUUCCCACUUAACCAAAUACUAGAAUAGAAUGAACAAGUUGGAAAGGCCUUUCUUUCUUGGUGUAUUUGUGAGCUGCAUUUAUGAGGAAGAAGCUAAUGAGCUUCUAAAUCCUAUGUCGGAUCACAAAUACAUGACAAUUUAGUGGUGUAAACUAGUGAAGAAGAAUCUUAGCACUGCUGAUAGGUUGUAAUUUUAUCAUUUAUUUUAUUAUUAAUUUCCCCUAUUACCUGACCUAAUGUGGAUUAAUUGUUAGAUUCUAUUCACUUUUGGCAAUUUGCAUUUAUUUCAGAGAGUAGAACGAAAAUACCAUAAUAAGUGCCAAUUUAGUAAUUAUCAGAAAAGAGUUUAAGUAACAGGGGCAUUUUUGGAACGUCAAGACGCGACCCUUUUUUGGUAAUUUGGCGGAAGACAGCAGCGAGAAAAGGACGAAAAGGCUGAAGUCUUCUAUUCGGCUGGAGGGGCCGCCGCACAGAAGCCAAGCAUUAGAGUAGCUAGGUAUUAGAUAGAAAAAAAGGCACAGAGAACUAGCACUACUUUGAUGGCUUAGCCUUUGACUUUUCUUUUUUGUUUAGCUCUUAGUAGUUUUCUUUUCAUUUCUUGGAUGUCAGGAGUAAUUAGGAGAUUCAAUCAUUUUUUGUAAUUUUCGUUUUCCUUUCACUUGUUCGGACGAAUUGGGCUUUCCCAAAUGCAGACAAUGGCCGCGACUUUUGCUUCAGCUUUGUAUGGGUUUUUCGCAUCAAAUAUGAACUAAUUUCUUCACUUUAGUCAAUGAACAACGGAGGCUUUGGUUCCCCUAAAAAAUGUGAGAUCGACUUAAUUUUAUUUUUUUUUUAUUUAUUGGUAUUCGCGUAUUCCUUGAUUGCAGUACUGAUGAUUAUUUAAUUAAUUGAUUGUUUUGGAUCCGGAUAAUUAGUUAACUUGAAAAUCUAUUGUCAAUUAGGGCAUUAAAUUCGUAAUUGUUUAAUUGCCUUGAAAUAGUGACAACUGGCAUGAUUGGGUUUGUGUCAGGGGAACUCGCGGGCUAAUCUGAAAUAACUCUGGUAGUGCGUUAUUUGAUUAGAAUAGGGCUCCUAUAAUAUGUAAGGCAAUUGGGGAAUUAAAUCUUAUGGGCGUACCUAGGAUUAUUUCUCAAUUAGAACAGUGAUUAACGGGCGUGCCUUAAUCACCGACACAGUAAGGAGGGAUUGACUGUCAUCGCUUGUUUGCCAGUUAUUACCUAUUUAUUAAUAAAUAAUUGGAACUGCCUUUGCAUCAAUGAUCAAUUAGGUGAACCAUUGUUGAAGUUAUUUCUUGGCUAGACCUUUAAUUAUUGUUACUCUAAUUUUAGUGAAUUGUCAUUUAAUUUCUAGUUAGUUAUUUAUUUUUAUUUGAAUUUCUUUGAUUGUCAUCGUUUAUACAAAAACACCCCCGUGUUAUUUUUGGAUUUCGAAAGAGACAAAUAUCCCUAGUCCCUGAGGAUACGACCCUACUUGCCCUAUUUACAAAUUAAUAAUUAUUUGUGAAAAAGCCAUCCCAUUCGGGUAUAUCGGAUCAAGCAAACUCUUCGGGAACAGGAUGAGUCAAGUAAUCCAUUGCACAUCUAGAGUCCCUGCUCCAGUACUUGGAAUCGGGUUUUGGUUAUUUUAAUUGACAAAUAUGUUUAUUUUUAUUAUUGCACAGGCAUUGAUAACCUGUCAACUGCCCAUAAUUUUUUUUUUCUUCGUUCCUCAAGAACGUAAAACAGAAGUCCUACCAACCACAUAACACUUUAUUAUGAUUCAAUCAACUCAUUUGGUUGAGCAAAGAAACCGAGGUUUCUAUUCCAAAAUGAAAAAGAUAUUAUGUAGAUCUGCCAACUCUUUUAGAUUUAUUUUAAACGACAAAAGGGCUUCAGCAUUGACCCAAAAAAUGAGGAGCGAAAAUUUUAAAAUGACUCAAAUCAAAGAACACGUAGAAAGCUCUCUUUUUCUGAAUCAAAUUCAUCAAUAUCUUUCCUUUAUCUUUAAAUUAAUUUUAUUAAGUUUUCUUCUCUGCUAAUCCAACAAGUUAUCUUCUGUCUACUAAAUUUAAAUAAUUCCAUUUCUCAAUUUGUUUCAUAAUUACAUAAGCAAUCAAGAAGUUGGUUGAUGAAACGAAAAAGUCCUCAUCGAUUCUAAUCUGUUUGUUCCCUGUCUUAAUUGAUUAAGUAGUCAAGAAGAGUUGGCUUAAUUGUUUCAGAAAUCGAGAAGAUUCUUUGCAGUGUGAAUAACAAAUAAACAUUGAGGAAAAAAGAAAAAGAAAAAUGCAAAGUAGGAAGAUGCAUUUUCGAGGAAGUAGCCACCAGGCAUAUUCUAAUACCAGCCAGAUUGAAUAAAUGAACUUGAUAGACAAAGUAGAAUAAAUUGAUUAAUCAGGAGCGAGAUUUCAGAUCUAUGUCUCCUGUUGCCAGCCCCUCAAUCAGUUUAGUUAAGUCAACUCUUCUGAGUUUUGUGCACUGUUACAUUAAUCACAAUUAUACUAAUCUGAAUCUCACACAUCAACCCACUGGAAUCGUUAAUCAUCUCUCUCUUAUUCUGACUGGCUUCUAUUCUGAUUUCUAUCAUUUGUUGCUGAAACAUUCCUUCCAUCUCUGAUAUUAGAAAACCUUUCGAUCCAAGUUCCAAUUCCAAGCAAGAAACAAUGGCUGACGCUGCUAUCAGUGCUACUGUUAAAGUCCUCUUGGGGACAGUUACUUCCAUUGCUGCGGACCGCAUUGGUAUGGUUCGGGAGGUCGAAGCGGAGUUGGAGAGACUAAGCAAUACUGCUGCAAUGAUCCAAGGUUUCCUGGCUGAUGCUGACGGGAAAAUGCAUAGCCAAGGGGUGCGAGAGUGGCUCAAGCAGCUAGAGGAUGAGGUUUUUAAAGCUGAUACCGUGCUGGACGAGCUCCACUACGACAAUCUUCGUCGGGAGGUGAAGUACCGAAAUCAACUCAUCAAGAAGAAGGUAUGCUUCAUCUUCUCCUCCUUUAAUGCAAUUGGUUUUAGUUCCAGCUUGGCUUCAAAGAUCCGAGACAUCAACACCAGCCUAGAGAGGAUCAACCAGCAGGCAAAUGUCUUGCAAUUGGCCAGAAAGCAGCAAAAAGAAGCUGAUGCGGCUGGUGCCACGGCAAGCAGACAGACCGACUCUAUUGUCGUUCCGAACGUUGUAGGAAGAGCUGGCGAUGAGUCAAAGAUAGUGGAGAUGCUGUUGACCCCAUCUGAAAAGGUUCUUUCUGUUAUUCCCAUAACAGGCUCGGGAGGUUUGGGAAAGACAACUCUGGCGAAAUCAGUCUACAAUAAUCCAAAAAUAGAUGGGCACUUUGGCCAAAAAAUUUGGGUUUGUGUGGCUAAAGAACAAAUUAAGAUAAUGGAGCUGUUCAAGCUCAUUUUGGUACAAUUGACACGAAAAGAAGUUAAAGUGGAUGACAGAGAUGUUAUCGUUAAAGAAAUUGGAGAAAAGCUGAAGGGACAAAAAUAUUUCCUUGUUCUUGAUGAUGUGUGGGAUCAUGAACAAGGAUUGUGGGAUGACUAUUUCAACACUUUGAUGGGACUCAAUGAAACCAAAGGAAGCUGGUGUCUUCUCACUACUCGUCUAGAAUCAGUGGCUAAUGCUGUGCCUAGACAUUUGCAAAUGAAUGAUGGUCCUUAUUCCCUAGGAAAGCUAUCAGACGAUGAGUGCUGGUCUAUGAUAAAAAGAAAGGUACUCGCAGGGGAAGAAGUACCAAAAGAAUUGGAAGCAAUACAAGAGCAAAUUUUAAGGAGAUGUGAUGGUCUACCAUUGGCGGCAAGUUUGAUUGGUGGCUUGUUGCUUAACAACGGAAAAGAGAAGUGGCACUGCAUUGUGCAGAAGAGUCUCUUGAAUGAAGAUCAAAGUGAGAUCAAUCAAAUACUUAAGGUGAGCUUUGAUCAUUUAUCACCUCCAUCAGUUAAGAAGUGUUUUGCAUAUUGCUCGAUUUUUUCCCAGGACACUGAAUUAGGAGAAGAUGAACUAAUUGAGCACUGGGUUGCUGAAGGUUUUGUUCUACCAGAUCGGGAAAACACAGGAAUGAUGGAGGAAAGAGGAGGCGAGUAUUUAAGGAUUUUGUUACAAAGUUCCUUACUAGAAAAAGUCGCAGAUGAGGGGAGCACAUAUUAUAAAAUGCAUGAUCUCGUGCAUGAUUUUGCAAAAUCAGUUCUCAAUCCUAAAAGCAGCAGCCAGGAUCGCUACCUUGCAUUACACUCAUAUGAAGAAAUGGCAGAAAAUGUCAGAAGGAAUAAACCAGCAUCAAUCCGCUCGUUAUUUCUCCAUCUAGAGGGUGGCAUGUCUGCUGACAUGAACAUGUUAUCAAGAUUCAAGCACUUGCAUGUUCUCAAAUUGUCUGGAUUUGGUGUCAUGUUUCUGCCGAGCUCUAUUGGCAAACUACUACGUCUGCGGUUGCUCGACAUUUCCUCUUCUAUAAUCGGAAGUUUGCCAGAAUCUCUUUGCAAGCUAUAUAAUUUGCAGACACUAGCGAUUUAUAAUUUUCCACUUGAAGGAGGUUUUCCAAAACGGAUGAGCGAUUUGAUUAGCUUGAGACAUCUAAACUACUACCAUGAUGAUGAAGAAUUUAUUAUGCCGGUGCAGAUGGGACGAUUGACUUGUCUUCAAACUCUAGAGUUCUUUAAUGUAAGUCAAAAAAGGGGAUGUGGCAUCGAAGAGCUUGGGACCUUGAAAUAUCUGAAAGGAUCGUUGACUAUAAGAAAUCUUGGACUAGUGAAGGGCAAAGAAGCAGCUAAACAAGCAAAAUUGUUCGAAAAGCCAAAUCUGUCUCGCUUGGUGUUUAAAUGGAAGAGUGGGGAUCGAGAAAGCGAUAACUGUGAUGAGAAUGUGCUGGAAGGUCUCCAACCUCACCCAAAUUUGCAAGAGUUGGAAAUUCGAUAUUUCAUGGGUAAUAAAUUUCCGCAAUGGUUUAUGAAUUUGGCAAAUUUGGUGGGGUUGCGGAUAGAAGAUUGCCAGAGAUGCAGUGAACUCCCUACAGUCGGACAACUGCCAUCCCUCAAACGUCUCUAUUUGAAAAGAUUGGACAACAUUCGAUCUGUUGGAGAUGAAUUCUACGGUGUUACUACUAAUGAGGAGGAGGAGGGCAGAUCACGAGCAUCAGGGAGCUGCACUAGAAGACGGAAAUUCUUUCCAGCCCUUGAAGAACUUCGUGUAGAAUAUAUGGAGAAUUGGGUAGAGUGGAAGGAUGCAGACCAAGUAGAUGUCUUUCCCAUGCUGAGGGAUUUUCACAUUCUAAGUUGCCGUAAGCUAACAAGUAUAAAAACGGGUCACGGCACUGCUUCUAUUGAGGAGUUGAGUAUCGACACUUGCGACAAUCUUAGGGAGCUGCCAGAAGAUGUGUUUGGAUCGAGUUUGCAGCAGCUGACCAUAAAAACUUGCGCAAGAUUAAUUAAUCUGGGAGUAAAUGGACAGAAAUGCCCCCUACCAUGUCUUACGCGAUUGUUUAUUUGGGGUUGCGAUGGGUUGACCACUAUAUCCGACAAAAUGUUCGAGUCAUGCCCGUCUCUGCGGUCCCUGUCGGUGGGGUGGUGCCCCAGUCUGGUGUCGUUUUCGCUUAAUUUGCAGGAGACGCCUUCUCUCGAGGAAUUCAGCUUACUCCGAUGUCCCAAAUUGAUCCCUCAUAGGUUCAAAGGAUUUUCUUUUGCCACCAGCUUAAGAAAAUUGAGCAUCGGUCCCGUCUCCUUAAUGGAUGAUUUUGAUUGGUCUGGCUUAAUAUCUGCUUCAACACUCCGUAGCCUUCAAUUAGAAGCGUUGCAUCACUCGGAGUCCCUGCCACACCAGAUUCAAUACUUGACAGCACUCACUAAACUGAGUCUUCACAACUUUGGAGGAAUAGAAGUGUUACCGGAUUGGAUUGGAAACCUUGUGUCCCUUGAAACCCUAGUACCAUGGAAUUGCGAAAAGCUUUGAUCUUUACCAUCCGAGGCCGCCAUGAGACGCCUCACCAAGUUAACUCGUGUUGAAGUUUAUUAUUGUCCUCUACUAAGACAACGAUACACUCCCCAAAGAGGCAUCUACUUGGAGGAGUAGAUUUCAAGUGAUCCGGUGAGAUUUUCCUAUCUAAAGUUCACACUCAUACAUAUUUAUAUGUAUAUAUGUAUAUAAGUUCACACUUAUUUUGUAUCUGGAUCUUAUUGACAUAUAUUUGCUCUUCAGUCUCUUAUACUCUUUUUCUCUAUCUCGUUUCUGCAAAGUUAUUCUUUAUAAUUCUCUUCUUUUGGGCAGACAUUGGUUUCUCUUCAAAGAUUAGUUUUAACAAAGCCUGGUUUUGAACAAAUUGGAAGCAACCAAAAUUCUGGAUUUCGUCUGCCUCUCUGAACCACUGAAAGAUUUUAAACAUCUUAAAAACUCCUUACACUUCAACUUGUUAAAUUCUAUUUGGCCAAGGACGAAAUUAUUAGCGACGGUGCAUACACAAUUAGCCUCUUUGUUUUAAUGUGUUGGAAAAUGCUUCGUUUGAUGUGCAAUGCUAGAUGUACAUGGAUGCAUUCUUCAUUUUUCUGUCACUGAUAUUGCCAGUCUCAAUGGAUAACAUUAAAGCUAAUCGAGAAAUGAUGUUGAAAGAAAAUUCAAGACACAAUUUGCUGUUCUUUGGGACUCUGUGUACUUAUUUGCUAUAAAAUUAGAUCAGUCAAAUUGAACUUCAAAUAUGUAUGUGGAGGAACCCGAGUGCUGUGAACGUUCACCCCUUACAAUUGAUACUGCAUGCUUCAUAUCAAUGACAAUAAUGUUUUUUUUUUCAAAGAGAUAAUGUUGGAUAGUUGCUUAUCAUCUUUCACAAGUUUGAAAAGUUUAUACGCCACAAUUGCCUUGAUUUUCUGUUCAGUGAGCUGGAUUAAUGUAUUGUAACCUUGCAGACGAGUAAUGCAAUGAAUGAUGGUGCUCAAACAUCAGCUUCAUGUUGUUUCCCAUUGUUGCUGAAGAAGAAGAGCUCAGGAGGUAUAUAGUGCACAAAAGUGAUAAUGCAGCACUUCUCUCCCCAAGAACUCUAAGUUUGCAUUCUAGUAUGCUUAAGUCAUGUAAUUGGCAUGAAAACAGGGUAUUUUUCUGCACUUUUAUGUGUUGUUGAAUGUUCCUGCGAAAGAGUGUGGUUUUCAAUUUUCUUGCACAAGUUUCCAGGCCAUACUUUUUCUUUGCUUUCAUAGUUCGUCAUGAUUGAAGCCGUUCUGAAACGUAAUAUUACGGUGCUUAUUCCAGAGUCUCAGGAAGCAGACCUCAUGUUGUUGGACAAAGGACACUGCUGUUACCCAUUGCAUUUUUUACUAGAUUGCCAAGGGACACAAGUUAUUUUUCAUUGACCAGAGGAUUUGAAGAUGAAGGCAGUUAUCAAUGAUGUCAAUUUAGCUCAUUCGAUAGCAUUAGCUUUGAUGGAUGUUUCACAAAUAGUUGGUUUCUCAAACAUAAGUUUUUCGUUAUUUCCUGGUCAGAAUGCAGAAAGGAAGUUUUUAUAUAAACAUAGGUACUUAAUACAAAUGAAACAACGCCUUUCAUUAUUUGUACCAUUUCUAGAUUCGUGAGAUGUGCAUGCCCAUCAAAUAUUCUACUUGUACCAAUUUUUAUAUAACAAGGAAUCAAGAAAGUUUUGGGCAGGGAAGGAGCCAGCCAUAGCAAGAACAAGGCAUCAAAUUUUCAUCAGUAUUCAGUAAAUUAGCCAUCCUUUUUUCAAAUUUUAAAAUUGGACCAAUGUGUUCAAUAUUGUGGUCGUAUUAUAAGUUUUCUCCUCUAAUUCACCUGUGCUGCCAUUGAAGUUCAACAAAAAUGUCAUACAUUUCUAACAACUAGAGUUGUCAACAACCAUUCAACUUGGUAUUCAUUUACUAUUAUUUGUGGGAAAACCGGUUAAAACGUUUUUCACAUUUUGCAAAAUAAUUUUUUUCAUCCCUCAUUUUUAAAAGUUUAAUUUUACAUCUCUUACAAAUACAAAUUCAUAUCAGUUAAAUUUGGUCCCUACGUAGGUUUUUGACUGUCUUUUGGCCGGAACCCAAACACAAUUAGCAUUAUUCUCAAAGAUAUGUGUAAAUUCCAUCUUAUCUUUGCUAAUGUCAAGAGCCUAAUCUUCAAAUCCAAAAACUUACUAAAGCAAUUAAAUUAAGUAUUUGUACUAAGAUUUUUAUUUCCCUCUUUCUUUCAAGUAAGGUGGGGUGAGAUGAGCAAUCCAUAGCAUUCUUCAAUCUUCAAUAUAGAGAAUAGGAGUCUUUUCUUUAAGGGUGUGUUUGAUAAAAUUAAAGUUUGAAAACUGAAAUCUAAAGUCUGAAUUCUGAAUCCAUUAAAUUACUGAAUUAGUAAGUACUAAAUUUGAUACAUUUAAUUAUAUAUCACAUUAAGUAAUAAGUAAAUAACUUAUCAUUUGUUUUUUAAAAUAAGUUUACAUAGAAAAUUCAAUGCCAUUUAAUUAAUUCAUAUGUUUUAGUUUUAGUUAUCAAACGUGUCUGAACAUAUUAAAAUUUAAAUCCAUUAAAUUUAAGUACUAAUUGGGUUAUCAAACAGGAUCCAAACUCAACAGAGUUUCAACUAAAAAUCAAUAGGUCCGUUGGGCUAACAUAAUUUGCUAAUAAUAAUAAUAAUAAUAAUAAUAAUAAUUUCAAAUAUUAUUCAGUCUGUAUUACAAACACAAUUUUUAAAAAUCUUUUUAUCUCAUAUACAUCACAUUAAAAGUACUACAAUGUUACAUUUCUUUUACCGAUUCUUUGGACUAUGAGAUUCUUUUCCCAUGCUUGCUCAAAGAAAUGAGACAUGAGCCUUUAGUCUUCAUUCUCCAGUUGAACUUAGAUGCUUUAGACUUUUAGUGGAGCACUUCUUUCAGGUAAAAAUAAAUUUCACAAAAACAUUUAUAUAAUUAUAGAAACUAUUGUUCUCUUGAUUUUGGAUCAUAAAAUAUUUAAAGGUCUAACAUAUUGAUUCCUAUGUUGUUGAACCUCAUAGUAAUUAUCCAAGAACCUUUUGCAAUAACAUCCUGCCAAGAGAUUCAUAAUCCAUGCUCUAUUGCAUGUUGAAAAUCAAACAAAAAACCUUGCCCAGUCCCACGAAAAUCACAAUACUGUAGCACAUAUAAUUAGUUAAUCUCUGGUCUUCGUAGAGUACAUAUAGUCUCUGUUUGAACCAUUUCUUUAGCCCAAAAAGGAAAUUUAUAAGCAGUGAAAGAAAUGACCACAUGAACAAAACAGUAUGACAAAAUAUACUUUAUCCUCCUAUGAUUUAGCGCUGAUAGAGCAAUUGUUGGGUACCAUUUGCGAUGUUAUUUGGUCAUAAUCUUGGUUACUUACUGUGUUAAGUAUUGAGAUUUUGCUCAAAUUUGAUAUUUGUGUAAAUUGCAGGCGGUUGGUGUUAAAAGUGGUAUUUUGGGGAGAAUUUUCAGAAGAUUUUUCAUCUCAGGGCAUGCCAACACCAGAAACUAUAGAAGAAUACCCAAAAGCCUGACUCGCGGGAUUGGUAGCAGCAGGGCCAAUUAGGAAACCCUAGACAAAGUCUUGCUCCCUGACGUUUCUUUGCUUUUCUUUUCGGCGGCUACAAAAGGGGAAGAAGGCCAGAUUCACGCCAUAUGAAUUAGAUUAGUUUUUAGCUUCUUUUCUUCGAUCAGACUUUUUCUCUACUUUUCGGCGGCGAACAGAGGAAAAGCCAGAAUCACGCGAGCUUAAUAGAUUAGCCUUUAUUUCCUCCUGUCAGACAAUUUUACUCGCGGCUUUGGCUCUUGUUUGCAGCCGACUUCCUGUAGUGCUUUUCUUUUACUUUUUGCUUCAGUAAGAACACAGACCGAGAGAUAAUCAAGACUUUUCCUUUUGCUUUCGACGUUACUUUAUUUUUCCCAAUUCUUUGGCAAUUGCAUGGAUGGAAUCAAUUAAACCACACGAGAGUAACACGAUGAGGAGCGGCUAGAUUUCUCCUCUACCCAAAGGUUGACGCGAAGGCGCGGUCCAUAACAUCUAUGAGAUCUAAUCGAAUUUUUAUUAUUUCUUCCGAUUCGUUACUAUUCGUGCGUUUCCUACAUUAAUUGUUCAUGGGUAUUUUAUUAAUUGAGUAUUAAUAGCCGGAUAUUUAAUUUAAUCUAAUAGCCCACUGCCACGUUAAUUAAAUUGAAUCCAUAAUUGUUUGUUUAGUUGACAACUAGUGGCAACCACCAUAAUUGAUUUUAUGUUGGGAAAACGUAAGAUCUAGUUUAAGUAAGAUCUAGUUUAAGUAAACCCUCUUAGCGUGUUUAUUGGUUAGAGUUGGGUUCUUCUAAUUUUAAUGCAACUGGAUAAUUAAAUUCCUACGGUCGUACCUAGGGUUGUUUUCUUGUUAAAGAAGCAGUCAAUGGUCGUACCUUGACUGUCGAAAAAGUAGGGAAAAACUGGUUGUCAGAGUUUGUUGAUAGUUAUAACCAACCUGGUGACGAAUGAAUGAAAUGUCUUUGCAUCGAUAAUCAUUUAAUUGGACCGUGUCUGAAAAGUUGAUCAUUUGGGUAGAAUUUUAUUAAUUGUUAUUUUUAGUAAAUUGUACUUGUUGAGUUAACUUUUGAAUUUUGUUUAUUUUAUUCUCAUUCCUAUUCCAUUAAAUAUCCCCCAAUUCUGUUUUAUUGACUUGGAAAGAAACAACUUUCUACUCGUUCCCUAUGAAAUCGACCCUACUUGCCACUGUCUGUUAGUUAGUGAAUUUAGUCAAGUAAUUAAUUCUUGUAUAUCGGAUUAAGCAAACUUUUCGGGAACAGGGUGAAUCAAGUAACCCAUUGUAUACCUAGAGUCCCUGCUCCAGUACUUAGAAUUGAUUAUUGACUUCUUUUGGUGGUAGUUAAGUUAUAUUAUUACUAUUGCACAGGCUCGACACCUAUCAAUUUUUGGCGCCGUUGCAGGGAAACGGUGUUUUGGUUAAUUUUGUUUCUUUCUAAGUUGUUCUCUUUGGAUUUGUCUGGCAUUUUUCUAGUUUAUGCCUCGUUCUUCUCGUACAAGCGAUUUGAUUUUCGAUCCUGAAAUAGAGAAGACUACGCGCCGAAUUAAGAAAGAGACUAGGCAGCUCAGAGAGGAGCAAUCUAGCACUGCAUCUCAGGGACUUGAUCCUGAGUUUGAAUCAACAGAUUCAAGUAGUGAUAAUUCAAGUGACCCAGGCCAAGAGAAUAUCUCUAUGGCGAUUGCAAGAACACUAAGGGAGUUGGCUGCUCCGGAAUUGCCCCAACAACCAUUGUGCAUCACAUUUUCAACUUUAGCUGAGAACACCUUAUUCGAACUGAAGUCAGGAUUGAUUCACCUUUUGUCCACAUUCCAUGGCCUCUCGAGUGAGGAACCACAUAAAUACAUCCAAGAGUUCGAUGUGGUAUGCUCCAGUAUGAAGCCUCCAGGAAUUAUUGAGGAACAAUCAAACUUAGAGCCUUCCCCUUCUCUCUCAAGGAUGCAGCAAAGGAUUGGUUGUAUUACUUACCUGCAGGCAGUAUUACAACAUGGACCCAACUGAAAAGAAAUUUUUGAAAAAAUUCUUUCCUGCAUCCCGGGCCGCAAGUCUAAGAAAGGAGAUAUGCAGCAUUAAUCAGUAUCCCGGAGAAUCCCUAUAUGAUUAUUGAGAAAGGUUCAAUAAGUUGUGUACUAGAUACCCACAACAUCAAAUUAGUGAACAACUAUUGAUCCAAUAUUUCUAUGAUGGACUCCAGUCGUCCGACAGAAGUAUCAUUGAUGCUGCGAGCGGGGGAGCACUGACAAAUAAGACCCCGAGAGAAGUAUGGCUGCUCAUUGAAGUUAUUGCAGAAAAUUCUCAACAGUUUGGCUUCCGUGAGAGUAACCCUACCCGUAGGGUUAACGAGGUAGAGACGUCAUCCAUUCAGUAGCAGCUAUCAGAGCUAACAUCUUUUGUUCGCCAAUUAGUUGUAGAGAACAUGCAUCAAGUCAAGGUCUGUGGAAUCUGCACAAACGUGGGCCACCCCAUUGACUCAUGCCCUAUGUUGCAAGAGAAGGGAGUUGAACAAGUGAAUAUGGCUAGGGGCGUGUCAGCGCCUAGUAGGCAGUACGAUCUAUACUCCAACAUAUACAAUCCGAGUCGGAGAGAUCACCCCAAUUUUAGCUAUGGAAACAGGCCACAGAAUUCAUUUCCAAAUCGUCCACCAGGGUUUCAAUAACCAUGACAACAAAAGCCUCAACCAUCAUCCUCAAAUUCAGGAAGCUCUUUGGAGGAUAUUGUUAAGAGCCUGGCCAUGAGUAUUGCUCAAUUCUAGCAGGAAACUAGAUCUGGUAUGAAAAAUCUGGAGACUCAAAUAAGCCACAUGGCGACUGCAAUUAAUCGCUUAGAAUCCCAAGUUUUUGAAAAAUUUCCAUCGCAACCCGAGACAAAUCCCAAGAAUGAAAGUGCUAUGACACUGAAGAGUGGCAAGGAAAUGGAGGGGUCAAAGGCCACGAACCUAAAGAAUAAAAGUGAAUAAGAGAUCGAAAAGGAGAUUGAAGAAAAAGAGCACAUUCGCGAAGACCCUAAGGUAAAAUUUACUCCUUCACCUCCUAUUUAAUCUAACUUACUUUCUUUUCCUUGCAGGUUGGAAAAGACAAAGAAGCAAAAUAAGGAAAAGGAGAUUUUAGAGGUAUUUUGAAAGGUAGAAAUCAAUAUCUCUUUGUUGGACGCGAUCAAACAAGCGCCAAAAUACGCUUAAUUCUUGAAAAACUUAUGCAUCAACAAGAAGAAGUAGAGGGGGGAUGAACAAAUUGUGGUAGGUAAGAACGUUUCAGCUAUUUUAUAAAGGAAACUAUCACCUAAAUGCGGAGAUCCAGACAUGUUUACUAUCCCCUGUAAGAUUGGGCGUUCUAAUAUCAAAAAUGCCAUGAUAGAUUUAGGGGUUUCUAUUAAUGUGAUGCCUAAAUUAUUAUAUGAUUCCCUAAAUUUAGGACCUUUAAAAGAAACAGGAAUAAUAAUUCAAUUGACUGAUCGUAUAUUUGCUUAUCCGGAUGGGAUAGUUGAGGAUGUUUUAGUGCAAGUAGAUGGAUUAAUUUUUCCUACUGAUUUUUAUGUGCUUUACAUGGAUGAUAGAAGUGCUCCAAAUCCAUCACCCAUUAUAUUAGGAAGGCCAUUUUUUAGUAUUGUCCAGACUAAAAUUGAUGUUAGUAAGGGUACUCUCACGAUGAAAUUUGAUGGAGAAAUAGUCCGAUUUAAUAUUUUUGAUACAAUGAAACAUCUUGUUAACUCUCAUUCUGUGUUUGCUAUUCAUGCUACUAAUCUCUCUGUGCAAGAAUUUUCUGAGUUUGCUUGUAGAGAUAAAUUCAAAGUUACUGCAAUCAAGUAUCAUGGAAUGAAAGCAAUUCAUGAGAUAAAAAAAAUUAAAAAAUUAAGAAAAAAUAUUGCACUCAAUGGAUACUUGGAUCCCGGAAGAGGGUUACCGAUUACAAGAAAAAUUGAAUUACACCCAGACUAAAGAGUGGUGUUUAAUGUCUAGCCAAAAACAUUAAAGAAAUGCGCUACUUGGAAGGCAAUUCAAGGAUUUCAAUUGUAUUUUAUUUCAUAUUUGUGUGUUCAAGAUCAGUGGGUUUAGGUUCUUGUUGACAAACAAUCUGUAUUGUAGGUCAUGAGUGUUUCUGUGCAGUUUUAUUCUAGGUUGGGGGCACAAAUUCGUGGGCAGAAGACUUCAUGUUACAAGGCGUGCCCGCGCCUUGUAUUCACCGCACAUGGACAUUUGUAAAAUUUGGUGAAUAGAGGACUUACACCCCCAAGGCAUGCCCACGCCACACAGCAGAUCGUGUCAGACAUAUUACACCACGAUAGGUAGAUGACCUCGACUUCCAAGGCGUGCCCAUGCCUUCCAACCUUUGCGACAACAAAAGUCAAACGCGACCAGGACCCUCUCUAAUCCUAUUUUUCUACUUUUUUUAUUUUCUUGUUUUGUUUGGUCUUUUUAAUUUCUUUUGUCUUAGUUUCCCCUUGUCUUCUCCCCCUUUGCUUCACUCCCCCUCGUGCGCCCCAGCUCGCGCAGCACCUCACACUACCGCUCGCUCGACCUCCAGCCUAAGCCAGCUGACGAACGACUCAGCGCACGCCUUCCCCUGUGCGGGAAGCCUAGCGAACCCCAGUUUUGCAGCGCUGCAAGUUUUCGCACGUAUUCGGACAGAGAGUUAGGCAGCUUUCUUUCCUCAUAUUGGAUUCCAGUCGCCUCAUCCGCCUCCCUCUUAGUGGUUUGCUGCAUCGUCUUGGCUGUCAGGGAAGUUUCACCCCUUUAUACUUACAAUCUAUUUGUCUUUGCUACAUUGAGGACAAUGUACGUUUUAGGUGUGGGGGGUAUGGUUUCUAUUAUUUCUUUUUGCUUAAAACACAAAAAAAAAAGCAAAGAAAACAAAAAUAAAAAAAAAGUGUAGUUAGUUGACUUUUUCUUUUGUUUCUACAUUUGUUAACUGCUAGAGUAUGUUGCUAUGAUGGAUUGCACAAUCAGGGUGCACGGGUGUGUGGUUAUAUAUGCUAGCUAUGCUUUUUGGUUUUUCUUGGCAAUAUCGUUGAAUGUUGAAUAUGCUAGACUUGACCCAUUUUUGAAACUUUUGAGAGCUUUUGAGCCAUACACAAGCACAUUAUUCUUGUUUGCUUCGUUUAUUUGAUUGAGUGGGUAUCACACAUGGUAUUGGCUUUCUAGAACUUGCUAUUUUAUAUAUGUUGAGGCCACAUUUUGUAGAACUGAAUGCAUUUGAAAUGAUAAGGGCAUUUAGGAUCUAACCCUCUUUAACUUGCUACAAACCAUGCCUUUAUUCUGUUUCCCAAUAGUGAACCAAUUUGAGCUUUUAACCUUUCCUUUUGUUUAUUGGAUGUGAUCGAUAACCCAUUACUUUUUUUAGACUUUCUUGUUCACCCUUGUGUCGUUAAGGGAAGUUUGAAUUUCAUCGUUUGUGCAAGGCAAAUGAAUUUAGGGUCGCAAGUGUUGUUAGAGUAGAAUUUGUAUGGUGCCGUUUCUAUGCAUCUGGAACAAAAAAAGGAGAAAUCGUCAAUAAGCUGGUGAGCAGAAGACUCUGUCUUCAUCUCAGGGCGUGCCCACGCCAGAAACUGUAGAAGGAUAUCCAAAAGCCUGACCCGCGGGAUUGGUAGCAACAGGGCCAAUUAGGAAAUCAGGUCCACGUGAACCGCUAAGAUGCAUGGGAUGAAAACCCCUGGACAAAGUCUUGCUCCUUAACGUUUCUUUGCUUUUCUUUUCAGUGGCUACAAAAGGGGAAGAAGGCCAGAUUCAUGCCAUAUGAAUUAGAUUAGUUUUUAGCUUCUUUUCUUCGGUCAGACUUUUUCUCUUCUUUUCGGCGCCGAAUAGAGGAAAAGCCAAAAUCACGCGAGCUUAAUAGAUUAGCCUUUGUUUCCUCUUGUCAGCAAUUUUACUCGCGGCUUUGGCUCUUGUUUGCAACCGACUUCCUCUAGUGCUUUUCUUUUACUUUUUGCUUCAGUACGAACACAGACCGAGAGAUAAUCAAGACUUUUCCUUUUGCUUUCGACGUUACUUUAUUUUUUCCAAUUCUUUGGCAAUUGCGUGGAUGGAAUCAAUUAAACCACGUGAGAGUAACACGAUGAGGAGCAGUUAGGUUUCUCCUCUACCCAAAGGUUGAUGCAAAGACGCGGUCCAUAAGAUCUGUGAGAUCUAAUCAAAUUUUCAUUAUUUCUUCCGAUUCGUUACUAUUCGUGCAUUUCCUGGAUUAAUUAUUCAUGGGUAUUUUAUUAAUUGAGUAUCAACGGUCGAAUAUUUAAUUUAAUCUGAUAACCCACUGCCACGUUAAUUAAAUUGAAUCCGUAAUUUUUCGUUUAGUUGACAACUAGUGGCAACCACCAUAAUUGAUUUUAUGUUGGGGAAACGUAAGAUCUAGUUUAAGUAAACCCUCUUAGCGUAUUUAUUGGUUAGGGUUGGGUUCUUCUAGUUUUAAUGCAACUGAAUAAUUAAAUUCCUACGGUAGUACCUAGGGUUGUUUUCUGGUUAGAGAAGCAGUUAAUGGUCGUACCUUGAUUAUUAAAAAAGUAAGGAAGAACUGGUUGUCAGAACUUGUUGAUAGCUAUAACAAACUUGGUGACGAAUGAAUGAAGUAUCUUUGCAUCGAUGAUCAUUUAAUUGGACCGUGCCUGAAAAGUUGAUCAUUUGGGUAGAAUUUUAUUAAUUGCUAUUUUUAGUAAAUUGUACUUGUUGAGUUAGUUUUUGAAUUUUGUUUAUUUUAUUCUCAUUCUUAUUCCAUUAAAUAUCCCCCAAUUCUGUUUUAUUGAUUUGGAAAGAAAUAACUUUCUACCCGUUUCCUGUGGAAUCGACCCUGCUUGCCACUGUCUGCUAGUUAGUGGGUUUAGUCAAAUAAUUAAUUCUGAUAUAUCGGAUUAAGCAAAUUUUUCGGGAACAUGGUGAAUUAAGUAACCCAUUGCGCAACUAGAGUCCCUACUCCAGUACUUAGAAUUGAUUAUUGACUACUUUUGGUGGUAGUUAGGUUAUGUUAUUAUUAUUGCACCUCUCAUAUGAUUUUAAAGCUAUAUAUAACGCCCUCAUAAUUUGGAUUAAAGUGUCAAAAUGACAAAAUUUGCAUUCCAUAAUAUAGUCAACUAAAAUGUCAAAAAUGUCUCUAUGUAAAGUUGAAAAUUAUUUAUUAACCACAGGCGUUUAUGUAUAUGGUUUGAAAACUAUAAGGGGAUUAUAUGCUAAAACAAUAAAUCAUAAAGGGAUUUUAUGAUAAACUAUAAAAUCAUACAGAGUUAGAGUGUCAUGCAUAUUAUGUUUAUAUAUUUUGGUUGCUUCAAACAUUUUAGUUAUUAAACAAGGGUAAUUUGGAUAUUUUCAUGAAUUCUAUUGCAAAUGAUAAUUUUCGUCAUUUUGACACUUUAAUUUAAACUAUGAAGAGGUUAUAUAUAAUUUUUGAAACUAUAGAGGGAUUAUAUAAAAAAUUGCUCAACGAUGGGGGUAAAGUGUAUUUUGCCCAAAACAGUACUGCUAGAUUCAAACUGAUGGAAUCCUCUAUGGAUUGAAAUUGUAAAUACCCUUUUUCCUUUGACAGGACGAGACUUUCUUUGUAAAGGAUUCGAUUCUGCAAUUACUUAACUCGAGCUGAAUUCAUGUUGCUCCAUGAACUUUCAAAUCAAACUCGAUAACGAUGCAGUCUACUCUUUUUUUUUUAUAACAAUGAUGACAUUUCUAUAAUUUAAUUUAUCCUAUUCUACUCGAAGGGGAACUUAAUCUAUCCUAUUCUACUGGGAGGGGGAGCCUAAAAAGCCUAGGCUACUCUUUUUUUUUUUUACAACAAAAAUAACAUUCCUAUAACCUAAUCUAUCCAAUUCUAUUAUAAGGGGCUAGCAGACAUACAGAUCUAACUGGACCAAUGGGGUGUUUUAACACCUCCUUUGAAUUUUUUUCACUACAAGUAGGAUUUGAACCCCUGACCUAUAAGCCAAAGAGGAAUUUAGUCCUUUUUUGAUAGCCACUGAGCUAAGAACAAUGCCAUUUUCUCAAAACCAUUAAAACUAUAUUGAACGGAGUUUGGGGCAAGGACUAUUGUAGGUGGCAACACUUCGGAAAGGUUGACGGCAAUGAUUUGGUUUAAAAAAAAUUUAAGGAUCAAAUCUCAUCUUGUGCAUGAAUUUUAAUAUCAUAUAUGAGGUCCACAAAAUUUUGUUCUAUAUUUAUAAGUUGUUGAAAGAAAAUUACAUUCUAAACAAAGUAAGUUACAUCUUGUGCAAAUGAAACAAAAUCGGUCCGAAUGAUUUUUUUGACAAUCAUUUGGACCCUUGGUCCAUGGUGAACUUAUUACAAUAUAUAGAGACCUUCUCUUAUAGACUAUAUAUCACUGUACACCAUUACACUGAUAAUUGAGUUUGACUUGUGAGGCCGAUAACUGUGGUCCGUAAUAAAACUUUCAUAAGACGUACUUGGUUUCUGAAAUGUUCUUCACAUUUCAUCAAAUAAAAUUUUUCAUUCUUCACUUUUAAAAUGAAAUUUUAUGUUUCAUAUAAAAUCAAAUUAGUAAAAUUUAGUUGCAAUCUAGAUUUUUUACCUCUUUUUACCGUGAAUCCAUCCUGUGACCCAUAUGCAUUCAUUAUUUUAUGUAUGGAAAGGUUGAUCAGUUGCAUGAUGAAAAAUGAUCCACAAUGUACAAGGAGAGUCUCUGAUGCCACAUCAUACAUUUGCACUUGUUAGUAUAAAAAAAUCUUUACAUUGAUAAUAUAUACAAUAUUAAUCUUAUAUAUUUAUUAAUUCAAAGAAUUAUUGGAUUAGAAAACUUAAUGUGCAUUCAGAUACAUAGAUCAAGAAAAUAAAAUAAAAAGUGCAACGACAAUUGCAUAUCUUUCAUAUUGUAGGUUUCGAGCAAAUAUGUCUUGAUCGGGUUAAGGUAGUUGGUUUUGAUAUAGAUUUGAAUCAACUAUCGUAAUAUAGAGGGCAAAGGUUAUGGUUAGAUUAGUAGAUGACCUUAUAUUCUUUUCAAGUGGUCUACUUGAAUUUGUUUAAUAAGAUUGAAUCCAGAUAGAGGAUGAACUACAUUCAACACAGGAUAUGGUGAUGUUGAAUUAGAGUAAACUAAAAUUUAGAAAAGACUUCACUUAAAAGUAGCAAUAGACUUUGUUUUAGCAAACCUUAGGAGAGAUAAAUGUAGUUGAUUGAAUAUGUUUAGAAUAAUAAUAUACCAUCCAAAUCUAUUUUCAAUUGAGGUACCACAUAUGUUACAUUUAUGCAUUCAAAUCUACCAAUUGUGAUGCUUAAACAGCAACUUCUUGAUCAUAUAGUUGGGUUUCUAAUUUUUUUUAAUGCUUUGAGGGAUAAUUUCUAAAAGUUAGUUUUUUUAGGAGUACAAUGUCCUUUUUCUUUUUUUUUUGAAAUAUAAAUUCUAGCCAUAUAGAUAAGUGAGUUUGCUUCAGUAAUCUUUCAUUAGAAUACACUGACAAUGAAUUUCAAUGAUUUUCUUAUUGUCCCAUUCAUCAAUAGACUUCUAAUUACCCUUUGGACUAUUUACAUAAUACUAGCAUUGAGUUAUUCUUGCAAUAUUGCUCAUAAGAGGGACAAAACGAAUAUGACUCUCUACUUUGUAAGUUAAUUUGUUUGAACUUCAAGUUAAUAUUUUAAGUAAAGGAUAAAAGUAGCUUGAUAAGUAUAUAGUCUGUAUUUGAGGCUUACAAUGUUUUAGCAAAUGCUGGGUAAUCCCCUUACUAAUCAAAUUCAAUGAUCAAUUACUAAUUGAUUUUCUAGAUAAAGUGACCAUAUCCUUUAGUUAAGCAUUAAGAGAUGAGGCAAACCUAUCAUUGGAGAAGACCUUAGAAUAGUUGGUGAGGUGGUAAGGAGGUUUUCCUAAUUUUUCCUUAAUAAGAUUUUUAUUCCUCUUUUUUCUCAAAAUAAACUUUUUGGCUUUGGUAUUCUGGCUAUUUGAAACAUUUGCAAGUGACGUUCCAUGAAAACUGCAUUAGAGUUUACUUAUUCGAGAUAAGGCAAAUAAAUCACUCACAUGCAGUCACAUAUUUGUUGAAAAAAUUCUUAAAAGAGGAGCAAAAUAAUGAGUAAUCUUUAACAAUAAGAAUAACAAGCGUGCUAACAUGUUAGUAACUAAUUACUCAAGAAAAAAGAAAGAAAAUUUGUUAAUCUAUACUAAAAAUUAGGAAUCGCAUUUUUUUUUUUACUUGGAGACACUAGAGAUAGUUAGUGAAAAUUAAUUCUGGAUCAAUGAACUUGGUGUAUUGAUGUUUUAGUUUAAAAAUUUUCCUUCUUUUUAUUGGUUAAAUAGUUAACAAAUGAGUUAUUAGUUCUUAAUUUUAUUGUUUAAAGUUAGCUACUAUUUUGCUUCUUUAUUUUAAAAUUUAAUUUAAUAGGCACAUGAUUAGACAUGACUAAAUUUUGUUAGUAAUUGAGAUAAAAUUCUUCAAAUGUCCUAAAUCAACUUUAAAUUGGAUAUAAUGGGAACCGGAUUUGCUCUUGCUAAAACUUUAUGGACUAGAACUGCACAUGUACUAAAUAUUGAGGAUCAUGAUUGUUUUUGUUAAAACUUUAGGGACUAAAAUUGCAUAUGGACUAAAUAUUAAGAAUUAAAACUACAUUUUUUUUUUCAAAAAUGGAAAAUUUAUACCUACAAAAAAAUUAAAAGUGGCAUUCAGCAAAUACAGCUUUUCAACAAAUAGGAUUGGUUGAUUUCAUAUUAACUUUCAAAGACUUCUCUCAUUGUGAGAGGAAAUUUCUCUGUGCUCUAGAGAGAGAAAAUCUGUGGCACCCCCACUUCUCCCUAAGGCGAACCAAAGGGUAUCCACGGGACGCCUGCCUAACUCUCGCCAGGACUCAAGCAAUUCCAUUUCAACUUAUAGCCGGACCACACAAUACAAGCCAAUAACUUAGAUACAAUAAAUACGGAAGCGUUCAAGCUUAAUAAUCGUCAUCCAUUAUUCAAUCCACACGUCGGUAUACAAAAUACAUUUCGCCCCAAAAGUUACAUUUCCAUACCCAAAAGUACAAUCCAAAACCAAAGGUAUAACCAAGAGUAAUAGCAAACCCUAAACAAAAGUACAUUAGGAGGGUUUCUCCAUUUCACCUCCGAGUUCAAACCUGUUAAGGAAAACAAAUCUACAGGGUGAGCAAAACGCUCGUGAGGCCAAGAACACACAUGCAGGCACAUAGCUCAGGUAACAAGCCCAAUUUACAAUUCAAGUAAUAAUUUGAAAGCAAUUAAUAAUGCCAACAAAAUGUAACCAAAAACAAUUCAAGAAUAUAGUAGCUCUCAGGAGCUAAGUUCCACAUUUUGCCGAUGUCAUUCGUAUAUCUCCCCGUGAUGACUCUCCGUCACUCGGGUUGAUAUUUUCAUAUCCGUAGUUCACCACUUACUUCUCAUCCGUCCACCAUACACCGCUUCGGGCCCGCACGACAUUUAUAAGGCGAUACUACACGAGUAUGCCAAGCGAGAUCUCUCAAUAGAUCAAGCUUAUCCUGUGAAUCUCAUGGCUCACCGAGGUUCUCAACCAAGCCCAUGCCGGCUCGAGUUCCAAGGUCGGCCUAUGAAUUUGGGCGUCCCUCGUGUAUAUGUAAGUGUCAAGGAGGUUCACUCCAAUGACGUAUGCAAUCAUAGCAUACUAUGUCAUGUAUUCAGGUAUUUGACAGUUUUAAGCAGUAUUUCAAGUCAUGUAAACCAGGUAAAUCAUAUUAAGCAUGAAUCAUUUGUUUCAAAUGAGAACGAGUGCGAUAAAGUACACACUCGACUCCAUUUUCAAAGAAUCAAGUAGGCUAAGCAUGUAAUCAAGACCAUAGAGUUCAAGUAGUCAAACACUUGACACUCACCAAGAUAUGCAAGCAAGUAGGUUGGAUUGAGAGUUCAAACUUCCACGGUAGGGUCCUCUUGGAGGUCCUCGUGCGUGCCUGAACAUUGAAUAGUAGACAAUUACUAUAGGUCCCCAAGUGGUGUGAAAGGUUGAACACGAGUAGGGUUCGGAAGUAUUUUGAAAUUUCGUUUAAACUUGUCUUUGAAGUUGGAUUCUCGAAAAGGUACGAGACUCGAGUAAUAUCGGAUUUUUAUUUUUUUUAAAAUCAUUGGAUGGAAACGAGUACGUGCGAAACGAUUGCAAAACGAACGAUCGAAAUCGGAAGGGGGAUGGCCACGUCACAAUCCGGCCGGAACCUGGCCGGAUAUCCGGCCGGAUUUCUGGCCGGAUUGGAGGCAGUGGCUAACCUCCCUUUUUUUCAAAUUUUACCACCAAUCCGGCCGAUAAUCCGGCCAGAAACUGGCCGGAUUCUGGUAGAAUAGUUCCCAUGCAGAUUUCCUUUGAAAUUUCAGAAUUUUUCGAUUUUUGGUCAAAUUUUUGAAAGAUCAUAACUUCUUUUCUACUAGUCAAAAAUUGAUAAACUUGGUACCGUUGGAAUCGUCUUUGAAAGUACUAAAAGUUCCUAGAAGACACUGUUCCACGAAUCUAAAUGGAAGGUAUUCAAAAUGAGUUUAAAGUUGCUGUCCCAGAUCACCCAAGAUUGAGCCGGGGUUGGUUUUUUGCUAACUUUGGAAAUUCGGCAGAAUUCACUCAUUGCAAACCAGCCCUUGAAAUUUAUAGCUCAAUUAGAGGUGCAAGUAAGGUUUAGGGCAGAACAAAUGGAUCGAGAAUCGGAGUUUCGAGCACCAAGAUAUGGUAGCUCAAAGUUGGGAAAAAUUCAAGACUGUUACAAAAUUUUCAGAUUUGGUUCCGACUUUGGACCUUUUGUUAAGUGUCGAAACAGACUUGAAUUGACACCAAAUUUUGUAGUAUGGUACUCCUAUAUGAAGGGUAUUUCUCUAUCAAAUUUCGUGGAAAAAUACCUUCGGGAAGGUGGUUAACCAAUCAACCAAAGUUUGGAAAAAUUCUCAAGGCAAUCUGCCCUUAAUCCUUUUCUUCCCAAAUCCAAUCGUUUGGCUAAGAAAAUCCUCCAAUCAUGGUUCAUAUGUGAAAGGAAAGUUUAAGAAACAUUCAUGGUACAUUUGGUAGGUGUUUAGUACCAAGAAAUUCAUUUAGUAAGACCACCACAAAUGUCACGUCAAAUCUGUCCAAAUCCAAGGCUUUCAAGAACAAAACAGUCACCGUAUCUUGAUCAUAACUCACUCAAUUUAACUCGGAUUUGAGCAUGGUUGAUAGUGUUAGAAAAUACAUGCAUAGGGAUAUAAUUUCACAGAAUAAAUCGUUUUAAGUUUCAGCAUGCAACUAGCUCGAAAUUAAGCCUAAAGUUGCAGCAUCAUCAAAUCAUUUCGGCAGAACGGCGAAACAGGGCAGCUGAAUUCAGAUGAGUGGUGCGGUUCACACACAUCGAACCAGAACAUGCAUUAUAUACCGUUGGAAAGAUGGGAACAUCUAGUUUCAAAUUCCGCUAACGGCACUUGAUUUCGACGUCGGAGUACGGAGUUAUGGACGAAAUACGAACACUGGUCUGGAUUACGACGAAACCGUUUUCCAGAUUACUAGCUUUGGGAAUAAAUUCGUUUGACCAACCAAAACUCAGUAUUUUUCAAUGAAAAUUUUUACACAACUACUACAACAUAUAAACAACACAAUCAAGCCAUUAAAUCCUCAAAUUUCUGCAUUAAAGUGACCGAACAAAGCAGGGGUAAAAUGGGAACUUUUUGCUUCAAGAGCUCAAUGAAGUUUCUGGCGAUAAUGCACCUUUAAUCUACUCCCUUAAACACUAAUUCAACAAUAAAACCAUCAUCAAACAUCAUCACAGCCAUCAACUCAAAGUGGGAGUUCAUAGAGCCCACAUUUAACAAUUUCUAACAAUAAUAAGCUACCCAUAAGCAUAAUCAAGCUCUUAAGUGUGAGUUGGCCUUCAAUGAACAAGAUUUGAAGAGUGGAUCAUGGUUACCUUACUUGUGUGCUAAAAGGUCAGAUUUUGGUGUCCAAAAGCCCCAAGAAAAAUCGUGAAUGUGCAGCUCCUUCUUUGUCCAAGUGAUUGUCCAAGUGAAGAGCUAAGUGUGUGUGAAGUUUUGGUUGAAUUUGGUGGAGUUUGUAGAGGAAAUGGUGGAAGUUUUCGGUUGCUCUUUGCUGCAGUUGCUAGCCGUCCAUGAAGCUUGCAGAUAUGAAUGUUAGUCUGAUUCCUUUUUGCGUACAAAGAACGCCGACCGUCUAAUAUUUUAAGUACGUAAAAUUUAAUUGCAACUAGUGCCCUACUCGCGCGUUUUGUGUUCAAUUUCCCUUAAGUUUGUUGCACUAGUGCACUAAACCUCUAGGGCACUUACAUUCAUAUAAAUAUUAUUCAUUCUUAAUUGUCCCAAAAUAAUUGUCCAAAGUCCCUCAAUUAAGCGCGCACGUGAAAACACGUAUUUCCAAUUUAGGCGCAAUAAAAUGAAACCUUCGAGAAAUUCUUAUAACGAUCGUACCACUAGCUAUCACUUGUGUGCUUAAACCUAAAAUUGUCUAUUUUAGGACCAUUGUAUAUGUCUCAAAUUUUUGAACUUAUUGUACUCCCAAUUGGCCAAAGUUUUCAGACACGUUUUCACUUUUCACUAAUCAGGCUUUUUUUUUAAAAAAAAUAAUUUUUGAAAUGAAAUACUUUAAAAAUAUAACGAUACUAUAAAUCAUGUACUUAGGUCCAAUAAGGCUUAAAAAAAUAUUAUUCGUGACAAAAAUCCAAAUAAAUAAUUAAUUUAGCCAAAAUUAGGGAUUUUUAAAAUAAUAGAAUUUUCGAGUCCUCACAAAAUCCCCCUUUUGUCGGUGUUCAUACUUUUCAUACGUUUCGCACUUUUCCCAACAAAAUUCAAAAUCCUGAUCUAUCAGCUCUUGGCGCCAUGAGUAACAACCUUCCAUUAAUAGAAACUUAACGAUUCCUUCCUUCCAUUAAUGGAAACGUACCGAUCUCAGCAUUUCUUCUGGAAUAAGCUUUGGAUGCUCUAAUGAUGGCAGCCAGAUCAAUCGUUCUCUUUUAGUUUCGUUUUGAAUAAAAAGCAGUCGUUGCUGAUUUUAUUUCUUUUGCUUCAAGUUUUAUCCAGUAGAGCUAGGUUCGUGUUUAAUUUCGUUCUGUGUGUUUUGAUUGUUUGUUUCAGGACUGGUUGGUACUGGUAUUUGUUGGCGACAUUGAAGGACGCUGAAUAGCUCCUGGCCUGGCCUACUCUGGAAGCUUCCUGUGAUUUCCAGUGAGAGGUCUAUGGGAAGGACAAUGGAAGGUAUCGAGGAGGUUUUACGCAGAUUCAGGUUGUCAGAAAAGGAAAGAGUAUGAGUCCAGUUAGAGGAGGGGGAAGUGGCAACAUGUGUAUUAGAAUGUAAGCAAAGUUUAAUAGGUAAAGUAUGGGGAAAUUAACCGGCUCACAUAGGUGGAGUUAAGAGCUUUGUGCACAGUAUGUGAUCUCGGGUGAAGCACUUAAAAAUAGUGGAGAUUGGGCGUAAUAUGUUUCAGUUUAUAUUUGAUAAGGAAUAGGAUAUAGAGGUGGUGUUGAACAGGAGGCCAUGGAUCUAUGAUGGACAGCCUUUAGUGUUGUUGCGAUGGGAACUUGGAUUGGAGGAAAAUGAGGAAAUGCUACGUAAAACCUUAAUCUGUGUGCAGAUCUGGAACAUACCUUUGCAUUGGGCAACAAAGGAAGCUGGUAGGAAGAUUGGGAGUAUAUUCCAACAGGUGAAGGAGGUGAUUAUUCCACAGAAUGGAGGUAAGGAAGGUAAACACCUAAAGGUUCUAGUUGAAAUUGAUCUUUCCACCCCCUACCUAGAGGUGUUAUGGUAAACAGUAAUGGUAUUAAGAGAUGGAUUGAAUUCAAAUAUGAGAAGUGUCCAGAUUUUUGUUUUGGUUGCGGUUUAAUUGGUCAUGGUUAAAGGAUUUGUAGCAAAAGAGGAUUGGAUACUGAAAAGGCAUCACAAUAUGGGAACUAGCUGAGAGCUAGUUACCCUAGAAGUCCUAACAGGAGGAACAGGUCUGAAAAUAGGAAUGAGGAUAGGGGAGAGGAAGGGAGCCAUAAUCAUGAUAGUAGGGAAGUGAGGAGGGAGGGGGAACAAUUUUUACUAACAUACACUGAUGAUUUCCAUAAGAAGGAGGAUCUCAAGCACACUGUCUAGGUGGAGUUGAUUGGCGACAGUGGAGCAUUGAUGGGGGGUAGAGAGGGGAUGAAGAGGGGAUCUGCUGAGAUUGGGGAGGGGAGAGGGAAAGGUAAACAGGGAGAGGAUGGAUUAGACAAGGAAGGGACAAGGAUUAUUGAGGUAAGGAAGGGUGAUGGGAGGAAAGAGAGGCAAGGAGUAUAGUAGGAGAAGGAAUGCUCAGAAGUAGGGGUAGGGGACUUAGCUGAUUUGAUGUGGAUUGAUGGAGUAAGGGGUAAGGGAGGUGAGGAUAGUGCUGUGAUAAAGGGAACAGGAGGGAAGGAAGAAGAACUGGUAACUAAGGGAGAGGAGGAGAGAGGAAAGGGGGUAAGCAGAGAGGAAGACCAAAAGGGAACCAUUCUGUAAGCAAGAGUUGGAGAAGGCUGGUAUUGGAGGUAAGUAAAAGGAAGCCACUGAUUGAGGCAAACAGUGAGCUUACUGACAAUAAGAAGGGGAAAAGGAAGGUAGGAGCUUUGGGAAGCGAGGGGGAAUGGACUUAGCAGAGAAGGAAAACUGGAAAAGAGCUAGAACUAAGAGUGGAUCCUGUGAUUGGAUGGAAGUAGCUGAGGGAUUGGAGUCCUCCAUUAACAGGACUCCAACAAUCAAAUGAAGGCUGUGGUGUGGAACUGUCGAGGUGUUGAAAGCCCCUUGACAGUUCCCCAACUGAGGGAGGUCGUGAGACUCCUCUCCUUCUUUAGUAUUCUUAUCAGAAAUAAAAAAGAAAAAAGUUACCUGAAUAGUGUGAUGCAAUGGAUUAGGUUUGACAAGGUAUUUGUGUUUGAUCUAGUUGGCAGGGCAAGGGGUUUGGUUGUGAUUUGAAAGUAGGAACUGAGGGUGAAAAGGAUGUUAUUUACCAGUUUCACCAUAGAACUGCUAAUAGAGGACACAGAAUUUGGUUUUGAUUGGUGGUGCAUAUGUGUAUAUGCCAGUUCAGAUGUAGGAAUCAGGAAAGAACAGUGGAAUGUAAUUCACAGAAGAAGUGCUAUAUAGGGGGAGCAUUGGGCAAUCAUGGGAGAUCUGAAUGACAUUACUUCUAAUAGGGAAAAGUGGGUAGGUAAUCUGAGAGCUGAGGUGAGGUGCCAAGAUUUUAACUCCUUCAUCAACAACAAUGAACUAGUGGACAUUGGUUUUGAGGAAGUUCCUUGGACAUGGUGUCAUAACUGGGGGAAUGAAGGAGAGGUAAAAGAGAGGUUCGAUAAGAUUCUAGGAACAAAGGAAUGGAUACGGAAGAUAGAUAAGGCAAAGUGUUUGCAUGUGGGAACUAAGGCUUCAGAUCACUGCAUGUUGGUGUUGGAUACAAAUCCAGGGGGGAGGAAGUGUAAGAAAAGGUUUAUGUUUGACAGAAGAUGGUUACUGAAUAAGGAUGUAAAGGAGGUAGUGGGGAGAGCUUGGGGAGAGCACACAACAAGGAUCCAGGCUAUAUACGGUUCAGUGUAAAAUAAAAAAAGUAAGAAUGAAUCUCCUGAGCUGGAGUAGAAAAAGCUUCAGUAACUCUAAGAAAUUGAUAGAGCAGGUUAAAAAUGAAAUAGAGAAGGUUAAGUUGAAUAAGCUAAGUGGCUUUAGGAUUAAACUAUUGGGGUUGAAGAGGAAACUGGCUAAUGCCUAUAAAAAGGAGGAAUUAUUUUGGAGCCAGAAGGUAAGGCUAAAAUGGUUAAAGGAAGGGGACAAAAACACUGGUUAUUUUCAUACUACUGUGGUUGGUAGGAGGAAAGCAAAUAGGCUUAGAGCAUUGAAAAGAAGGAAUGGGGACUGGUGUAGAAGUGCGGAGGAAUCUAGGGAAGAGAUUUUAGACUACUUUGAGCAAAUUUUCACUUCAGAUAUCCUAAGGAAUUUGCUGAAGUGUUGCAAGAAAUCCCACAGACUAUCUCAGCUGAGAUGAACAGGAAGCUAACCAAGGAAGUCUCAGAACAGGAGAUCUAUCAGGCAGUGUUUUCAAUGCAACCAAACAAAUCUCCUGAACCAGACGGUAUGUCUCCUUGUUUCUUCCAAAAGUUUUGGCAAAUUGUUAAGUCUGAUAUUGUUCCAACUGUCCAAAGUUUCUUUCAUUCUGGUUUCCUUUUGAAAUCUAUUAAUAAGACUCUGAUCAGUCUGAUUCCUAAACUUGAUUCCCCUACUUUAGUCACAGAGUACAGAUCUAUUAGCUUGUGUAAUGUUUCAUAUGAAAUCAUUGCUAAAGUGCUAACUAACAGAUUUAAAAAUGUCCUGAAACAUUGCAUUAGUGCUUCUCAGUCUGCCUUUGUUCCAGGCAGGCAGAUUCUGGACAAUGUGUUGAUUGCUCAUGAAAGUGUUCAUUUUUAAAAAAAUAAAAGGAUUGGAGGGGAUGGUUAUAUGGUUGUCAAGUUAGAUAUGUCCAAAGCUUAUGAUAGAGUGGAAUGAGUGUUUCUAGCUAAAUGGGAUUCUAUCCUAGGUGGAUUCAAUGGAUUAUGGAAUGUAUUACUAGUGUGACAUAUUCUGUAAACAUUAAUGGGAAAAAAACUGGUUUCAUUAGACCUACUAGGGGUCUAAGACAGGGGGAUCCAUUGUCUCCUUACCUUUUUUUUGAUCUGUGCUGAAGGAUUCUCAUCUCUGAUCAAACAAGCUAACAGUCAAGGCAAUCUGUGACGACCCCACCUCCCCCUAAGACGAACCAAAGGGUUCGGCAGACCGCCUUCCCAACUCUCACCAGGGCUCACUCACAUAUCACUUUAAGAGCAAGUAAAGAUGUGCCAAUCAAACUUAACAUAUAUACAAUCAUUAACACAGAUAUACAAUCCUCAAGGUUAAGUACAAAAUUUUAGGAUCCAAUCAAUUACUAAUACUAUCACUAUUACACAACAAAAGUUCUAAUCAAAAGUUUAAUCUUCCUCUAAUCAUUCAUCCUUGCUCUCAAACCCUGUAAGGAAAACAAAUGUAAUGAAAUAGAGGGGUGACCUAAAGUUCAGUGAGGUUCCUAUACACAUAACCAAGCAAUUAAAACAAGAACAUUAUUCAUUUAAUAAUAAUCAAUCGAGAAACAUUCACAAUAUAAAAAUAAUGAAAACACACUCAUUAAAAGGAUACAUGUUCACGUAGAGUCCUUCGUUCCAUCAUUCAUUUAUUCAGCCCAUCAUUCUCCCACAUUCCAUCAUUCAUUUUUUUCCUUAUAACUUUAACAUCUCAUUUCAUUCAUUUCAUUUCCCAUCACUAACCAAUUCACUGACCAGUUCUCCACCAACUUUCGUGGUCAUACUCGAAUAUAUCAAAACACUGUCCCAAGAUCACCAGUAGCCCGACCGAGUCUACUUCUGGAUUGAGUCAACUGGCAACGAAGGGCAAGUGCCCAAUUCAGCAAAAAGGCUUACAUUCAUGCACAAGUAGUAUUCAAUCAUUGAAAAUUCACUUUUUGGCUUGGGUCGAGUGCGAUAAAGUACAUAUUCGCCCAUCGAAAAUCUAUUUAACAAUCAUUAGAAAGCAUUUAACAUUCAAACAAUCACUCAUAGAUAUUCAUAUAGUCACUUAUUGCAUAAACAUGCAAGGAACACUCAUCCUAAACAAGUCACGUUUUAUCAAAAUUCAUUUCAGGGCCGGCACCUUGGCCACUCUCGUAAUCUGCAGUCAAAUAUUGUCCACAAAGAGCCAAUCAUACACGAGUGCAAGUUGCAUAACUUAUAUUUCUAUAUCAAAGGAAAAGGUAUGAAAAGUAUAGUAAGUCAUAUAGGCAAUUGCACACAUAAUUUGUAAAAGAAAAUGAUCAAAACGGUUAAAUUCAAAGCCAAUAUGUGCAACUAAAACCCAUGUUUUGAAUACUUGUUUAGAAUGUUAGAAAUCAGAUUUAGAACACUUGAGAAGUACAUGUUAAGUUGGACCAAAAAAAUGAAAAACAAGAGAAAGGCAACGAAAAACAAUGAAGAUGGCAGCUUUGCCAUCUUUUGGUGUUUUGGUCACAACUGAAGCUACAUUUAUCGGAUUGAGGCAAAUUUUAUGGAGUUUCAAAGUUAAGAUCUAGACCUACAUUUUCUGUAGAGAUAACAACAUCCAGUUCUCGCAUUUUCAGGGUAAAAAAUGGACUGUCAGAAUCACAUGAAAAAUAGGUCAGUGUGAUAAAGUACACACUCACCUAUCGAAAAUCUAUUGAACAAUCAUUAUAAAGCAUUUAACAUUCAAACAAUCACUCACAGAUAUUCACAUAGUCACUUAUUGCAUAAACAUGCAAGAAACACUCACCCUAAACAAGUCAUGUUUUAUCAAAAUUCAGUUCAGGGCCGGCACCUUGGCCACUCUCGAAAUCUGCAGUCAAAUAUUGUCCACAAAGAGCCAAUCAUACACGAGUGUAAGCUGCAUAACUUAUAUUUCUAUAUCAAAGGAAAAGGCAUGAAAAGUAUAGUAAGUUAUAUAGGCAAUGUGCACACAUAAUUUGUAAAAAAAAAAUGAGCAAAGCGGUGAAGUUCAAAGCCAAUAUGUGCAACUAAAAUCCAUGUUUUGAAUACUUGUUUAGAAUGUUAGAAAUCAGAUUUAGAACACUUGAGAAGUACAUGUUAAGUCGGACCAAGGAAAUGGAAAACAAGAGAAAGGCAACGAAAAAUAAUGAAGAUGGCAGUUUUGCCAUCCUUUGGUGUUUUGAUCACAACUGAAGCUAUACUUAUCGGAUUGAGGUAAAUUUUAUGGAGUUUCGAAGCUAAGAUUUUAGACCUACAUUUUCUGUGAGACAUCAAUACCCAAUUCUUGCAUUUCUAGGGUAAAAAUGGAUGGUUAGAAGCACAUGAAAAACAGGUCAGGAAAAUUAGAAUUUUUUGCGCAAUCAGGAGUUCUCUAGCCAAAUCAUAAGCUAAAAUGAUCCAAUUAAUCUGAAAUUUUGCAGGUAGAAAGUUAACUUAAAUCCCUAUAAUUUUCAUGUUUUAUCCAAAAGCUGAUUCAGUUUAAAACAUGGAGAAAUUCACAGCCCAAAUUGAUUCCAAAAACAGGGUAGAACUAACAUUCACCACCAAAUGCUGGAAUUUUGCAUAUCAAUCCUAAAACUACUCAUCAAAGCUGGAAAUUGCUUGACAAAGCUGAAAUUUCAUCUUUUAAGGCUAAAUAUCACAAUCAAACCACUAAUCAUCUUACAAAUUUCAUAUCCAAUCUCUCUACCAACAUUGGAUAGCUAAACAACAUAAUCAAGGCUAAAAAAUUACCAAACCCUAGCUGAAAUUUCAUAAUCAACACCAAAACUAGAGUAUCAUUCAAUAUAUUUCAAGAUUCAAAACUUCUACUCCACAUUUUGCUAAAUUAGAAAGAAAAAGGAAGUUUUAGACUUAUACCUUCCAAAACACUUGAAGAAAGUGAAGAACCAAGCUAUUUCUUUCCAAACAAUUCCACAACAAGCUUCCUUAGUUCCUUGGUGCUAGUUUAAUCGGUUUAGUUUUGUAGUUUCAACUCAAACAAGGCAAGAUUCAAGGUUUGUAGUUAGUGGUUUCCUCUCUUUUUUUCUCUCCCAAUUUUUGGCCAACACAAGAAGGCAAUGAAGAAAAAUGAACCAAGAAGAAAGAUAAGAAGAAAGAAAACUCAUUUGGUCAACCAACUCUUGGAUCUUUGACACUUGUCAAAGCCAAGUUUUCUCUCUUUUUUUUUUCUUUCCUUUUCCUUAGUCAACAAAGAUGGCUGGAUUAAAGGGUAAUUUAUGAAGGAUUAUGUGAAAUAAAAACAAGAAGAUUAGGGUAAGAAAGUAGUGGUCAAGUGGUGUACUCGAUCGGUAGCAAACGGUGCACGUCGGUUCAAGUCGAUUUUCCUUAACUCUCGCGUACUUGUGUUUUAACUUGUGAUUCACUCACUUAUUAUUAGCACUUCUAAUCACACACUUUCUCCUACCUAAUACUCACUCUUAUCCAUCAAAUUUAGCACACAUACCUUACCAAGUGAUCACACUACCAAAAUACACAAAAAUUCUAAUUUACCCUAACUAUAAAACUAAGGUAAAACUCUUAAUACUAUCAUUUAUUAUAUCUAUUGGGGGAAUAAAAUUAGUAGUAAAAUGAAUUAUAAAGUAGUUUAUUCAAAAUAAAAGGGAAUUUUAAGAAAAUAUAAGCAAAUUUUCAAGUCGUCACACUCUCUCCCUCUUACACAAAAAUCCGGGAUGUCACACAAUCUGACAGGAUUGAGAAUUGCUAGAGGGGCUCCUUGUCUAUCUAAUUUAUUUUUUGUAGAUGAUUCUCUAAUUUUCUGCAAAGCAAGUGGAGGGGAGGCAGGCCAGCUAAGGAGGAUCCUAGAUGUGUACAGGAAGGCUUCAGGCCAGUUGAUCAACAUGGAGAAAUCUUCUCUGUUUUUCAGCAGAAAUGUGAGUCAAAGAUAGAAGGUAGAGGUGAUGAGUGUGUUGCGGGGAAUGCAGCAGGUUUCACAAAGCAAAUAUCUAGGAUUGCCAUUGGUUAUUGGUAGAUCAAAGAGACAAGUUUUUUAUUUUAUAAGGCAAAAAACAAUAACCAGGCUGAAAGGAUGGAAGGAGAAACUGCUAAGUCCAGCUGGGAAAGAGGUGUUACUGAAAGCUGUCAUUAUGGCUUUGCCUACUUAUGUCAUGUCCUCCUGUCUCCUUCCAAAAGUAUUGUGCAAGGAGAUUUAUUCUGAAUGGCAAAGUACUGGUGGGGGCAAAAGGAAAAGGAGAAUAAGGUGCACUGGUUGAGCUAGAGUAAGAUGACUGAGGUAAAGGCAGAAGGGGGCUGGGAUUUAGGGAGCUACAUGAAUUCAACCUGGCUUUGCUUGCAAAGCAGCUAUGGAGAAUUCUGAUGAAUCCCAACUUACUGAUGAGUAAAAUUCUGAAGGCCAGGUAUUUUAAGGGGACAUCAAUCUGAAGGACAAAGAGUCAUGGUGCAGACUCAUGGUGCUAGAAGAGUCUGUUGCAGGCAAAAAAUGUACUGGAGGAGGGAUUGAGAAAGCAGGUGGGAGAUGGCAAAUCUAUAAAUAUAUGGGACAAUAGAUGGAUUCCAGGUACUGAGGAUCGGAAAGUAAAAACAAGGAGGGGGGAGGGUAUUGAGUUACAGAAAGUGAGUGAUCUUAUUAAGGGGGGAAUGUGGGACAAGGAGGUGAUUGCACAGGUUUUUGAUAGGGAAGAAGGUAGGAAGAUAUUGAGUAUUCUACUUAGUGAGGAGCCUAGGAAGGACAGAAUAUUCUGGGCAUUUUCAAACACUGGUAUGUAUACUGUAAAGUCAAGAUACAGGCUGGUAAAGAGAAAGAAAAGGAAGGAUGGUGAAGAGUGGACAGAGGCAGGAACUAGUUAUAGGAGGAUAGGUGCAACUUAGAACUGGAACUUUCUCUGGGGGUUGAAUGUGAAACAUAAAUUGAAGCAUUUCAUUUGGAAAUGCUUGCAUGGUAUCCUCCCAGUAAAUGCGGUACUAAAGGAAAGAUGUUCAAAGGGAGACCAUAUGUGCAAAGGAUGUGGGGAAGGUCCAGAAACUAUUGAACACAUGUUGUUCUUUUGCAGCAUUGCAAAAUUAAUAUGGAAAGUUGCACCUCUGAGCUAGGAGGGCCUAAAGGAUUAUAGGACAGGUUUUGGCACUGGUGGGAGGCACUGAAAGAAGCUGUAACCAAGGAGAAGGGUAAUGAGCAUAUAUGUUUAACAGUAAAUCUGCUAUGGCAAAUCUAGAAGUCCAGAAAUGACAAGCAAUUUAAUGAUCAUGGUAGGGAUCUGUUGGUAGCAGCUAACAAAGCAGUGUUGGAGUGGCAGGAGUAUCAGGAGGCUCAAGAGACUGAGGUGGAAGUUAGGGUCAGCAGCACGAAGAAGGAAAGGGAGUUGCAUGGUUGGGAAAGACCACAGGAGGGUUGGAUAAAGAUGAACUCAGAUGCUGCUUUACACAGUAAGAAGGAUAGAGCGGGCUGGGGAAUGGUUGCGAGGGAUUGGCAAGGGAAGGUGUUAGGAGCAUGGGCUGUGCCAUCUUUUAGCUGUUCGAACCCAAAACAAGAGGAAACAUUGGCACUAAGAAUGGCUAUGAAGCUGGCAAAGCUGCAAGGAUGGGAAAAGGUGGUGUUUGAGACAGAUUGCUUACAAGUUGUGGAAGAGUUAAACAGGGAGGAAAAUGAUAGGAUAGGGUCGGUAGUGGUUGAUGAUAUUAGGAGUCUUAGAACUAGUUUUGAUGAAUGUUGUUUUACUUUCACUCGGAGAGUAAACAACUCUGUUAGCCAUAAGCUUGCCAAAAUGGCAGUUAGAUUGGAAAACUUAGCUGAAUGGAAGGAUGACUUCCCAGCGUGUCUGCAUGAACUUGUGCAGAUAGACAGAGUGUAAGGGCAGUUGCCCAGUCUUUUUGUAACUUGUUUCGGUUUAUUAAUGGAACGUUGACGUUUUGACAAAAAAAAAAAACAAAUAGGAUUGGUUUAGUGGCUAAGAGAGGCCUCUUAGAGUUUUACUCGCUAUCAAAUUUAGGGUUUGAAUCCUGUGCCUAAUAAUUGAGAGUAGGAAGUGUGUGGGAAUGGAUGGAAGGAUUAAAAAAAACUGCAACUUUUGAAGUUGCAAAAAUUGCAUUUGAUGAAUACGUUUUUUACCAUAUGGGAAGAAGUCCGGAAAACAUCACUUUUAGGAAUUUUUUUUCUUUAAGUAGCACUCUUUGGGGAUUUACUCCAUCAUCCACUAGAUAGUUCUGCGUACAAAAGCAGCCAACUCGCAAAAUAGGUACUACACUGACAAUAAUGGAGAACUUUUUGGUCUCUGGUUUCUAACGAGAUGGAGUAACAAACCCUGCGUGGUCAUUUGUAAAACCAAGAAAAUGAAAUGUCUAAUUCCCAUGGAUUAGUAAUUUAUAAGACUAGAUAAUGCUUUCAGUUUUUUUACUAACAAAUGACGUGAAUUGCUAUUUACUUUUCUCCAGUAUGAUUGCGAUUAAAGUUUCUUGUCCCUCUCCGGUGGAACUUACACAAUUAUUCAAUCAGAAAAAGAUGAAGGCCCCGGCAACAACAAUGAUUAAGAAAGCUCAUGCAAAAAUGCCAAGCAACUUCCAUUGCAAAAGCAUCCAAAUUUCCCACUGAAUUGAACCACUGAUCGAGGGCUCCCUGAUGUCUUUCAAGUAUUCUACCGAAACAACUAAUGGCCGCCUUCAUUGACCAAACUUAGAAUUGUUGUGGCCGACAAAAUUUAGUCUAGGCUUUCAUACAGCUAUUCUUUAUCAAAUCAUGCAACAUAUAUUUAUUUGUAAACCAAAAACUUGUAGCAAAUAUUUGGACUUUUUUUGGAAAAUUACUGUAGCAUUGCUUUAAUUGAUGUAUGAUGUAUGUGAGAUAAAAAAAUAAUUAAAAAUAUAUUGAUAAUAUAAAUAAAUAAAUCUUGACAAAUAAUUUACAGGCACAAACAAACCCAUUACGACCAGAUGACAAGUUACUAUGAACUAUGAACAGAGUCUUUUAGAAGUUUGCAUCCGAAGAGCAAAAAAUUCCUUUGCUAACUUAAAUAUAUGCAUUUACCAUUCCAUGUACUGAGAAAUAAGUACAACAUUGGCAAUAAUUCAUACGGUAAUUCAGAUAUUUUCAGUAACAGCCCCAGCAUUGAAUCAUAAAAAUAUGAAGGCCCCAUCAACAACAAUAAUGAUUAAGAAAGCUCAGGCGAAAAUGCCAAGCAUCCUAUUGAGGACUCCUUAUUUGUCACAUAAUUGUCAUUAUUUAUUGGGCAAAUUCCACUUUACCCCUAUGUGGUUUAGCAUUUUUACAUAAUCCCCCUAUGAUUUCAAAAAUUAUAUAUAACCCCCUCAUGGUUUGGAUUAAAGUGUCAAAGUGACGGGAAUGAUCAUUCGUAACGGAGUCACCUAAAAUGUCAAAAAUAUCCUUAUAUAAAGUUGAAAAUUAUUUAUUAACCAAGGGGGGUUAUGUAUAUAUUUUAAAAACCAUAAGGGGGUUAUAUAAUAAAGUAUUAAACCAUAAGGGGGUUAUAUGGUAAAGUAUUAAACCAUAAGGGGGUUAGUGUGUCAUGUAUUUAUAAGGGUAAUUUCGACAUUUUCAGAAGUUCCGUUACGAAUGACUAUUUCCGUCACUUUGACACUUUAAUCCAAACCAUAAGAGAGUUAUGUAUAGCUUUUGAAACCAUAAGGGGGUUAUGUAAAAAAUGCUAAACCAUAGGGGGGUAAAAUAUAAUUUGCCCUUAUUUAUUUCUUGUACCAAAACAUAGUAGUCGAAGUUGAGUUGGACCACAGGGUUGUUAAUGUGAACAUAAAUAUCUCAUGUGAUUAGGGUGGUUCUACACCUCGAAUGCAACAAAUGUAGUACAAUUUAAGCAUGGGCUUGUGUUGUAAUUAAUGUAUGCGAAUAAAAUUCAUUGUGUGAUUGUAACAAAAGAAUUUUUUCUCAUAAUUUCUUAAAUUGGAGAAUAAAAGAAGCUGGUAAAUUGUAAUUAAUUUGUUAUACAGAAAAAAAUUAUGUUGUUUCUUCAACUUUAUAAAUUUUUGGUGUGAAAUUUUUUUUCUUUGCUUAAGAAUAAAAAUUUUUAAAAAUGUAAUUUGGAAUAAAAACUAGAAGAAAAUAGUAGAGGGAUUUUUUACCUCUUAGGGAGUUAAGUGUUACAAAAUAGAAAUUAGUUGGUAAAAUGAGAAACAUGGCAUACCUUAGCAAGAUAAAUUGUAAUUAACCCAUAUUAUUAAUUAAAUAAAUCUUAUAUACAUUGACAGUGCAUACAUUCUUACCGUUAGAUUCAUGACACGUGUGCAAAAAUUAAAUUUUAAAUUUAAAUUUUAUAUAGUUAUCAUUCAUCUAAUGCUGAUAAUGUAUACAAGGAAAUAUUAAUUCUUAUUAAUUUAUUAUGUGAUCUUAACUUCGAAGGUGAAACUAAUAAUGUGGACCAUACGGUCGCACAUGAGCCAUUAAUUAAGAACAUCUUUAGCUUAAACUCUGACAGCCACUAAGUUUUUAAAUUCCAUACUUAUACCCCUGAAGCAAAUGUUUUGAGUUUAUCUCUAAAGAGACUAACAGAUUAGGUGAAUGACUAUUUUCCUUUUUCCCAUGUCUCUGCCAUCACACUUUAUUGUCCCUAUCGGGUGGAACGGACAAGUGAAAAUGCCAAGCAUUCAGAUCUUUUCAGAUUAAAGGGCUCCAGCAAGCAUUUACUCAAUAAAGAUGAAGGCCCCAGCACCAAAGAAUGAUUGAGAAACUCAGGUGAAAUUAGGGAUGUAAUCGAAUCGAGUUGCUCGCGAGCUCGGUUAAAAGUUUGACUCGAACUCGGGUUGACCGAGUUCGAGUUCGAGUCGAACUCGAGCGCUUCGAUAAGAUAAACGAGUCAAGUUCGAGCAUCCAGAAGCAUUGCUCGAAGGCUCGUCGAUUCUUAUCGAGUUUUUAAUUUUAAUUAUUUAAUAUAUUAUUAUUAUAAAAUUACCCUUAUACCCAAAAGAGUUGUUGAAUUUACGAAAUAUUUCAAGUCAUAUAAAAAUUUUUAAAGGGCAAUAAUGUCUUUUCACUCAAAAAUUGUCAAAAAAAUGAAAAUUUCUAACUCAAGCUUGAUAAGGCUUGUAUUGACUCGAGCUCAUGCGAGUUGAGCUCGAGUUUUGCAAGCAAGCAUCGAGCUCGAGCUCGAUCUCUAAUAAUAGUACUCGCUCGAGCAGCCUUUUUGCAUGUCGAGUCGAGUUCGAGUAUGGCGAUAUUCGGUCUCGACUCGACUCGAUUACAACCCUAGGUGAAAUUGCCAAGUAACUUCCAAUGCAAAAGCAUCCGACUUUGAUAACCUUUUUUUUGGAAAGCCAUUUUGCCUUAAAAGAAUUUCUACGUGUUUUUCCAAGCACAUUUUUUAAUUACUUUUAUAUUUCGUGUAUAUCAAAUUACUAUAAUAUUUUUUUUACAAAUACUUUAAAAAAUAGCAAUCCAAAUGAAAAAGAAGCAUUCCACUUCGACGUGGAUUGAUGACUUUCAAAUGGUUACAUCAUGAACCAUUUUUUUUCUUGUCAAGGGACUAGCGCUGCAUUUGGGAGGCAAGAAAUGAUAAGAAAAGAAAAGUUUGGAUGGAUAUAUGUUAAUUUUUGUCAUUUGGGAGAAAGAGUGGGAAAGAAAAUAAAAGAAUUGGGCAGAUUUUGAUUUCUCUCCAGAGUCAAAAUAUUUUCCGCCUAAAGUAUACUUUCACAAUAUGACAGUUUUACCCGUAAAAAGUUUCUAGGCAAAGUUAAAUUUCCAUGACUUCUAGCUUCCUUAUAAAACCCCAGUCAAUAAAAAAUUCAUCUCACUCUUCCUUCUCUUGACCACUAACACUCUGGCGGAGCGAAAAUAGAGAAACUAUUUGUGCCCUCUUUCUGCUUCAAGAUCAGGUAACCUCCUCUUCUAUUCAUAGUUGCUUCAUAGUAUUAUGGAUACAUUGACAUGGGGUGUAUGAUGGAAUUCUAUUUUGUCACAUGAAUUUCCAUAAUUCCUUAAUGAAUUAAAUUUAAAAUUUCACAUGCUUUAGUUGUUUCCUGGACACUUGAUUACUUGAUAGCUUAUUCUUGGUCUUCUACCUGAUUAUUUGAAUCAUUAUAGGGCUUCAAUAAUUUUUCAAAAUUAUCCCUCUUUAAUAAUAGCUAACAAUCCUGGACGACAAGUAGGAUGAGAGAUUAUGAUGUAUGUAUUUCUAGGAAAGUUCGUUAAUUUGCAUUUGGAUCAAAGUUUAAACAAGUUGGAUAAUUGAUAAUUUAUUCCCGUUGAAUCAUCUUAGACAUCCAUUUAUGCUGCACUUAGUACUGAUCUUAAUCACUCACAACAAUGAUCAGAUUAUCACCAAUUAAUGGCUUGGCAUAAUCACUCACAACAACCUUUGCCGGUUCUUUUAGUUGGAGUAAGGCAGCAUACGACAAGAAAUAAUUGAUUUUUUCAACUAGUAUUGGGUGGCAAACUAUGAUCAUAUUUUAAUGACUUCGUAUAUAUAUAGUAAGGUUGUGUGGAUAGCAACAAAUUUAUCAAUUUUAUUAUUUUAAUUACCUACUGACUCAUAAAACAAAUACACUAACAAUAAUACUUUUAGUUGGAUAAGAAAUCACACUAAGAUUCAAAUUAGUUUCACAUUCAACAAAAACAACGACAAUUAAUUGGUGUUGACGUUAUUUGCCAUGUAACAAAAUUGAUCAUGCGUCAAAGGAUUUGUAGCACAAAUUAUGUCGAUCGAUCCAUUGGGUAUCGAUCUAAACAAAGUCAAAAUAUGCGAAAGGAAAUAUUGAUGCAACUUAGGACAAAUUAGAUAUGUAGUCUCGAUAAACAUUGACAAAAAGUUCCUAAAUUUGGCAAACUUGGAUAUAUAGACUUAAACAGUGUUGUGAGGUGAAAAAUUAGGGGCAACAUGAUCGAACACCGGUCUAAAAGAAUUAUAUGAUAAUUAUAUUUUAGAUGGAGUAUUUGAGAUCACAAGCCUCACUGUCAAAAUUUCAACUACAUAGGAAGCAAAUUAACUGAUUUAAAAAGAGGUGUCUCUUUUUGUUUAUUGAUUUGCUAUAUAAACAUUUUGAUCCUAUUAACUUUCGCUACCUUAAUUUCCUAAUUGAGGAACCGUCUUAUAAAAGUUUCACCACCUCCUCAGAUUACUACAAUCAGAUUGCGCUAAAAUUAUUUUGAGGUGACCCCACACAAUUUGAUUAAUCCCAAUUAUACCGCAACGGAAUCUGAAUCUCACACAUCAACCCACUGGAAUCGUUUAAUCAUCUCUCUCUUGUUCUGACUGGCUUCUAUUCUGAUUUCUGCCAAUUGUUGCUGAAACAUUCCUUCCAUCUCUUCUAUCAGAAAACCUUUCGAUCCUAGUUCCAAUUCCAAGCAAGAAACAAUGGCUGACGCUGCUAUCAGUGCUACUGUUAAGGUCGUCCUGGAGACGGUCAUUUCCAUUGCCGCGGACCGUGUUGGUAUGGUUCUCGGGGUCAAAGCAGAGUUGGAGAGACUAAGCAACACUGCUGCAACGAUCCGAGGUUUCUUGGCUGAUGCUGACGAAAAUGCAUAGCCCAGGGGUGCGAGAUUGGCUCAAGAAGCUAGAGGAUGAGGUUUUUAAAGCUGAUACCGUGCUGGACGAGCUCAACUACGACAAUCUUCGUCGGGAGGUGAAGUACCGAAAUCAACUCACCAAGAAGAAGGUAUGCUUCUUCUUCUCCUUCUUUAAUGCAAUUGGCUUUAGUUCCAGCUUGGCUUCAAGAUCCGGGACAUCAACACCAACUUCAAAAGGAUCAACCAGCAAGCCAAUGACUUGGGAUUGGUAACCAAGUACCAAAUUGAAGCUGCACUCCCUGCUGAUGCCGCUGGUGCCACGACAAGCAGACAGACCGACUCUAUCAUUCUUCCAAACGUUGUAGGAAGAUCCGGCGAUGAGUCAAAGAUAGUGGGGAUGCUGUUGACCCCAUCUGAAAGAGUUGUCUCAGUUAUUCCCAUUACAGGCAUGGGUGGUCUGGGCAAAACAACUCUUGCUAAAUCAGUCUACAACAAUACAAAAAUUGAUGAGAAUUUUGGCAUAAAGAGUUGGGUUUGUGUGGCUAGAAAAAUUGAUAUAGUGGAGCUGUUUAAAUUGAUUUUAAAUCGUUGACAAGAACGAAGGUUGAAGUGGAUGAUAGGGAAGCCAUAGUUCAGGAAAUUCGAGGAAAACUUGGGGAAAAAAGAUUUCUCCUUGUUCUUGAUGAUGUAUGGAAUUGUGAACCGGGAUUGUGGAGUGACUUCUUCGCCACAUUGUUGGGACUCAGUACAACUAAAGGAAGCUGGUGUAUUCUCACUACUCGUCUACAACCAGUGGCUAAUGCUGUGCUUAGGCAUUUGCAAAUGAAUGGUGGUCCUUAUUUCUUAGGAAAGCUAUCAGGUGAUGAGUGCUGGUCCAUCAUAAAAAGAAAGGUGCUCGCAAGGGAAGAGAAGUAACAAAAGAAUUGGAAGCAAUACAGGAGCAAAUUUUAAGGAGAUGCGAUGGCCUACCCUUGGCGGCAAGUUUGAUUGGUGGCUUGUUUAACAACAGAAGAGAGAAGUGGCACUCCAUUGUGCAGGAGAGUCUUUUGAAUGAAUAUCAAAGCCAAAUUAAUCAAAUACUUAAGGUGAGCUUUGAUCAUUUAUCACCUCCAUCAGUUAAGAAAUGUUUUGCAUAUUGCUCGAUUUUUCCCCAGGACACUGAAUUGGGAGAAGAUGAACUAAUUGAGCACUGGGUUGCUGAAGGUUUUGUUCUACCGGAUCAGAAAAACACAAGAAUGAUGGAGGAAACAGGAGGCGAGUAUUUGAGGAUUUUGUUACAAAAUUCCUUACUGGAAAAAGUCCAAGACAAGUUGAGGACAUACUAUAAAAUGCACGAUCUCGUGCAUGAUUUUGCAAAAUCAAUUCUCAAUCCAGAAAGCAGCAAUCAAGAUCGAUAUCUUGCAUUGAACUCUUCUGAAGGUUUGGUAGAAAAAACCACAAUGACAAUACCAGCAUCAAUUCGUACGUUAUUUCUCCAUCUAGAGGAUGGCAUAUCUGCUGGCAUGCUUUUAAGAUUCAAGUACUUGCAUGUUCUCAGAUUGUCUGGCAAUGAUGUCGUGUUUCUACCGAGCUCCAUUGGCAAACUAUUACAUUUGCGGUUGCUCGACAUUUCAUCUUCUCGAAUCAAAAGUUUGCCAGAAUCUCUUUGCAAGCUAUAUAAUUUGCAGACACUAACGAUUCGAAAUAAUGCACUUGGAGAAGGUUUUCCAAAACGGAUGAAUGAUUUGAUUAGCUUGAGGCAUCUAAACUACUAUCAUCAUCGUGCAAAAUUUAAAAUGCCGAUGCAAAUGGGACAAUUGACUUGUCUUCAAACUCUGAAGUUCUUUAAUGUAAGUCAAGAGAAGGGUUGUGGCAUCGAAGAGCUUGGGACCUUGAAAUAUCUUAGAGGAUCAUUGGAGAUAAGAAAUCUUGGACUAGUAGAGGGAAAAGAUGCAGCUAAACAAGCAAAAUUGUUCGAAAAGCCAAAUCUGUCUCGCUUAAGGUUGGACUUUAGACGGAAGAGGGGGCAUCGGAAAAGCGAUAACUGUGAUGAGGAUGUGUUCGAAGGUCUCCAACCUCACCCAAAUUUGCAAAAGUUGGAAAUUCGAUAUUUUAUGGGUACUAAAUUUUCGCAAUGGCUUAUCAAUUUGCCAAAAUUGGUGGAGUUGUGGAUAGAAGAUUGCAAGAGAUGCAGUGAACUCCCCUCAUUAGGACAACUACCAUCCCUCAAACGUCUCUAUUUGAACAAACUAGAAAACAUUCGAUCUAUUGGAGAUGAAUUCUAUGGUAUUACUACUAAUGAGGAGGGGGAGGAGAAGGGCAGAUCACGAGCAUCAGGGAGCAGCACUAGAAGACGAAAAUUCUUUCCGGCCCUUGAAGAACUCCGUGUAGCAUAUAUGAAGAAUUUGGUAGAGUGGAAGGAUGCAGACCAAGUGAGGUCAACAAUAGCCGAAGAAGCAGCAGAUGUCUUUCCCAUGCUGAUGGAUUUGAGCAUUCAACAUUGCCCCCAACUGACCACUCUCCCGUGCUCAUGCAAAAUUCUAGACGUGCAAUAUUGCCGCAAUCUAACAAGUAUAAAAACGGGUUACGGCACUGCUUCUGUUGAGAAGUUGAAGAUUGGCUGUUGCAACAAUCUUAGGGAGCUGCCAGAAGAUGUGUUUGGAUCGAGUUUGCAGCGGCUGAGCAUCGAAAGUUGCCCAAGAUUAAUUAGUCUGGGAGUAAAUGGGAAGAAAUGCCCACUACCAUGUCUUGAACGAUUGAGUAUUCAAUAUUGCUACGGGUUGACCACUAUAUCCGACAAAAUGUUCGAGUCAUGCCAGUCUCUGAGGUCCCUGUCGGUGGAGUGUUGCCCCAAUCUGGUGUCAUUUUCGCUUAAUUUGCAGGAGACGCCUUCUCUCGAGGAUUUCGCCCUGCUCAACUGUCCCAAAUUGAUCCCUCACAGGUUCAAUGGAUUUGCUUUUGCCACCAGCUUAAGAAAUUUGUGGAUCGGUCCCUUCUCCUCAGAUGACUCCUCAAUCGAUGGUUUUGACUGGUCUGGUUUAAGAUCUGCAUCAACACUGUGUAAGGUUCACUUAGAAGGGUUAUGUCACUCGGAUUCCCUGCCACACCAGCUUCAAUACUUGACUACCCUCACUUCACUAAACCUGAAGAACUUUGGACGAAUAGAAGUGCUACCUGAUUGGAUUGGAAACCUUGUGUCCCUUGAAACCCUACAGCUAUCGAAUUGCGAAAAGCUUCGAUGUUUACCGUCUGAGGCUGCCAUGAGACGACUCACAAAGUUAACAAGUGUUGAAGUUCGUCGGUGUCCUCUAUUAAGACAACGAUACACUCCCCAAAGAGGCAUCUACUUGGAGGAGUAGAUUUCAAGUUAUUUUGUAAGAUUUUCCUAUCUAAAGUUCACACUUAUAUGUAUACAAAUAUUUUGACAUAAAUUUGCUCUUCAGUCUCUUAUACUCUGUUUUCUCCGUCUCUUCUAUGAAAUUUCACUAGUCUUGUAAAGUUAAUCUCUGUAAUCCUCUUCUUUUUGGGCAGACCUCGGUUUCUCUUCAAAGAUUAGUUUUAACAGAUCCCGGUUUUGAACAAAUUAGAAGAGACCAAAAUUCUGGAUUUCCUCUGCCUCUCUGAAUCACUGAAAGAUUUUGAACAUCUUAAAAACUCCUUACACUUCAAAUUGUUACAUUCUAUUUGGCCAAGGACGAAAUUAUUAGCAAUGGUGAAUACACAAUUAGCCUCUUUGUUUGAAUGUGUUGGAAAAUGUUUCAUUUGAUUUGUAAUGCUACAUGUACGUGGACCCAUUCUUCAUUUUUCUGUCACCUGAUAUUGCCGGUUUGAACGGACAACAUUAAAGCUAAUCAAGAAACAUUUGCGAAGAAAAUUCAAGAAACAAUUUUCUGUUCAAGAUACAAUAAUUUUGGAUAGUUGUUUGUCAUGUUUCACAAGUUCCAGAAGUUUAUACAUCACAAUUACCAUGCAGGCCAGCAGCGAGAGCGAACAAGAAGAAGUCGAUGACAAUGAACAAGCAGGCAGAGAUGGUGAACAAAAAAGCAUUGAUAGUGUGCUCAAACAUCAGCUUCAUGGUGUUUCCCAUCGUUGCUGAAGAAGAAGAAGAGCUUAGGAGGUUUGUUGUGUAGAAAAGUGAUAAUGGAGCAUUUCUCUCCCCAAGAACUCUUUUAUUACCUCCAUCCAAUUUACUAAGAGUACAAGGAAUUGGUGCAACUUUGCAUUCUAGUAUGCUUGAGUCAUGUAAUUGGCCUAAGAACAGGGCAUUUUCCUGUACUUUUAUGUGUUUGUGAACUUUUACCCUAUGCCAACAGCUUAUCUUUUGCUCUUUAAGAUUUUUUUAUUUACUUGGUGCUAAACAUGUCUUUUGAUUGUGAAAGAAUCUGGUCUUUUCCGAUUUUCUUGCACUAGUUACUAGACCAUAACUUUUCUUUGCUUCCAUUGUUCAUUAUAAUCGGAGCCAUACUGAAAUGUACCAUUGUGAUGCUUUCUAGAGUCUUAGGAGGCAUAGCUUAUGUUAUUGGACAAAGGACACCAUCGUUUACACACCAAUUGUCACACGAUAUUGCAUAAUAGGAGAAACUUCUUGAAUUCUGGUGGGCUUUGAUUGGUUUAAGUAGGAUGAUGUUUCUUUUAUGUGUUGUACUGACCCCUUCUGUAUAGUUUACAUAGAUCUAAUUGGGCUGCUGCUUCUGAUAUGAUCCCAGAAGUACAUACGUUUAGUUUUUUAAGCUGCAAUAUCGGUUUUUCUCAAUGCACUGCCAUCACUAGUUUGUUAUAUUGGUUUCUGGUUGGUAGAUGAAUUUUUAUUGAGUUGAAGUUUCAUUUCUUAGCAUUUAUUAAUUCUAAUUUGAAUUUGCUUUUAAAUAUUUAGGCCAUGUUCUCGCUUAAAGGUAGGGAAAAUACAUUAGAGAAGAUUUGAGGAGGCUAUUGAUUACGUAAAUGAGCAGCUUCCUUCAGAUGAUUCCUCUGUUCCAGCUGUAAGACUGUUUGUUGCCAUAAAUUCAACUCUCUAGUUCUGGCUUUUCUGAAUCAGCCGAACUGAACUCUAGCUUUUUGAUUGUUUUGCAGGCUUCCGAUGCUAACCUGAAAAAUGCAACGGACAGGAAAGAGGCACAAAUCCCUCCGGAGCUUAUAACUCGAUGUGUAGCUAUUCUGCUUGACCACUCUCCCGUGCUCAUGCAAAAUUCUAGACGUGCAAUAUUGCCGCAAUCUAACAAGUAUAAAAACGGGUUACGGCACUGCUUCUGUUGAAAAGUUGAAGAUUGGCUGUUGCAACAAUCUUAGGGAGCUGCCAGAAGAUGUGUUUGGAUCGAGUUUGCAGCGGCUGAGCAUCGAAAGUUGCCCAAGACUAAUUAGUCUGGGAGUAAAUGGGCUGAAAUGCCCACUACCAUGUCUUGAACGAUUGAGUAUUCAAUAUUGUGUUGGGUUGACCACUAUAUCCGACAAAAUGUUCGAGUCAUGCCAGUCUCUGAGGUCCCUGUCGGUGGAGUGUUGCCCCAAUCUGGUGUCAUUUUCGCUUAAUUUGCAGGAGAUGCCUUCUCUCGAGGAUUUCGCCCUGCUCAACUGUCCGAAAUUGAUCCCUCAUAGGUUCAAUGGAUUUGCUUUUGCCACCAACUUAAGAAAAUUGUGGAUCGGUCCCUUCUCCUCAGGUGACUCCUCAAUUGAUGGUUUUGACUGGUCUGGUUUAAGAUCUGCAUCAACACUCCGUAAGGUUCACUUAGAAGGGUUACGUCACUCGGAUUUCCUGCCACACCAGCUUCAAUACUUGACUACCCUCACUUCACUAAAUCUGAAGAACUUUGGAGGAAUAGAAGUGCUACCUGAUUGGAUUGGAAACCUUGUGUCCCUUGAAACCCUACAGCUAUCGAAUUGCGAAAAGCUUCGAUGUUUGCUGUCUGAGGCUGCCAUGAGACGACUCACAAAGUUAACUAGUGUUGAAGUUCGUCGGUGUCCUCUAUUAAGACAACGAUACGCUCCCCAAAGAGGCAUCUACUUGGAGGAGUAGAUUUCAAGUUAUUUUGUAAGAUUUUCCUAUCUAAAGUUCACACUCAUAUAUAUGUAUACAAAUUUUUUGACAUAAAUUUGCUCUUCAGUCUCUUAUACUCUGUUUUCUCCGUCUCUUCUAUGAAAUUUCACUAGUCUUGCAAAGUUAAUCUCUGUAAUCCUCUUCUUUUUGGGCAGACCUUGGUUUCUCUUCAAAGAUUAGUUUUAACAGAUCAUGGUUUUGAACAAAUUAGAAGAGACCAAAAUUCUGGAUUUCCUCUGCCUCUCUGAAUCACUGAAAGAUUUUGAACAUCUUAAAAACUCCUUACACUUCAAAUUGUUACAUUCUAUUUGGCCAAGGAUGAAAUUAUUAGCAAUGGUGCAUACACAAUUAGCCUCUUUGUUUGAAUGUGUUGGAAAAUGUUUCAUUUGAUUUGUAAUGCUACAUGUACGUGGACCCAUUCUUCAUUUUUCUGUCACCUGAUAUUGCCGGUUUGAACGGACAACAUUAAAGCUAAUCAAGAAACAUUUGCGAAGAAAAUUCAAGAUACAAUUUUCUGUUCAAUAUACAAUAAUUUUGGAUAGUUGUUUGUCAUGUUUCACAAGUUCCAGAAGUUUAUACAUCACAAUUACCAUGCAGGCCAGCAGUGAGAGCGAACAAGAAGAAGUCGAUGACAAUGAACAAGCAGGCAGACAUGGUGAACAAAAAAGCACUGAUAGUGUGCUCAAACAUCAGCUUCAUGGUGUUUCCCAUCGUUGCUGAAGAAGAAGAAGAUCUUAGGAGGUUUGUUGUGUAGAAAAGUGAUAAUGCAGCAUUUCUCUCCCCAAGAACUCUUUUAUUACCUCCAUCCAAUUUACUAAGAGUACAAGGAAUUGGUGCAAGUUUGCAUUCUAGUAUGCUUGAGUCAUGUAAUUGGCCUAAGAACAGGGCAUUUUCCUGUACUUUUAUGUGUUUGUGAACUUUUACCCUAUGCCAAUAGCUUAUCUUUUGCUCUUUAAGAUUUUUUUAUUUACUUGGUGCUAAACAUGUCUUUUGAUUGUGAAAGAAUCUGGUCUUUUCCGAUUUCCUUGCACUAGUUACUAGACCAUAACUUUUCUUUGCUUCCACUGUUCAUUAUAAUCGGAGCCAGACUGAAAUGUACCAUUGUGAUGCUUUCUAGAGUCUUAGGAAGCAUAGCUUAUGUUAUUGGACAAAGGACACCAUCGUUUACACACCAAUUGUCACACGAUAUUGCAUAAUAGGAGAAACUUCUUGAAUUCUGGUGGGCUUUGAUUGGUUUAAGUAGGAUGAUGUUUCUUUUAUGUUUGUACUGACCCCUUCUGUAUAGUUUACAUAGAUCUAAUUGGGCUGCUGCUUCUGAUAUGAUCCCAAAAGUGCAUACCUUUAGUUUUUUAAGCUGCAGUAUCGGUUUUUCUCAAUGCACUGCCAUCACUAGUUUGUUAUAUUGUUGGUUUCUGGUUGGCAGAUGAACUUUUAUUGAGUUGAAGUUUCAUUUCUUAGCAUUUAUUAAUUCUAAUUUGAAUUUGCUUUUCAUUUAGGCCAUGUCCUCGCUUAAAGGUUGGGAUAAUAGAGAAGAUUUGAGGAGGCUAUUGAUUACGUAAAUGAGCAGCAUCCUUCAGAUGAUUCCUCUGUUCCAGCUGUAAGACUGUUUGUUGCCAUAAAUUCAACUCUCUAGUUCUGGCUUUUAUGAAUCAAACGAACUGAACUCUAGCAUUUUGAUUGUUUUGCAGGAUCCGAUCCUAACCUGAAAAAUGCAACAGACAGGAAAGAGGCACAAAUCCCUCCGGAGCUUAUCACUCGAUGUGUAGCUACUCUGCUCAUGAUUCAGCUCCUUAUAUCUCUAAGAUCCUUUAUUCCCAUCUUGUCUCUUUCUUUGCUUCAUAGAGGGCCCACUUGUGAUGAUGUUUAUAUCAGAAGUUUGAUCACUUGGACGAUUCCCUUUUCCUGUUAAAACUACAAGCUGUGCAUAUUUUGGUUUAUAUUUUCCUUAUGGCUUAUUAUCAGUUCAAAGUACUGAAUCUCAGUUUCAAUAAAGUGGAUAUUUAUGGCUAUUAAAUUGUAGCCAUAAUGAAGUUACUGACUCAAUCUAGCAACUAUUCGUAUAAUGGGAUCACUCCCUUGUUUUGCUUUUUUUCAAUGAAUUAAGGAGGAGUUGAAACUAAUCUCAAACUUCGUUUAACUGAUAAUGAAGCUCACCCUUCACUUGCUUGCUGCUGUUAGGUUUGCAUCAUUUUUGAAAUAUUUUCUUUGUCAACUCCAUUUAUUGGUUAGCAAGUUCUUUCCGCAGUUGUAGGAAUGACACGACUAGAAUAUCAGUUCUCUAUUCGAGAAUUGAACAUCUGUGCGUACAAUGUUUUAAAUGCUCUUCAUUCUACAAUUUGUUGUUUUGUUUUCUUGUGAUUUACACAGUUCGACCUUUUUGCGAAUGUAUACUUAUUGGCUUAAUAUUGCAGUCAUUUGUUGCAAAAAUGUACAGAGAGGCAGUUUCCACCAGCCGAUGUGGCUCAAAUAUUGGAUUCUGCAAUUACAAGCUUGAAGCCUUGCUGCCCACAAAACCUUCCAGUUUAUACUGAAAUACAGAAGUGCAUGGGAAUUGUCAGGAACCAAAUAUUGGCGCUUAUACCUACUUAGCCAAUAAAACUUGGACGUAUUUCUUUUUCAUAUCU
RNAcentral lists this long non-coding RNA (56675 nucleotides) under Coffea arabica (coffee). RNAcentral describes it as "long non-coding RNA (CARA_LNC000049)". Lineage: Eukaryota; Viridiplantae; Streptophyta; Magnoliopsida; Gentianales; Rubiaceae. The record is from RNAcentral.